GCCUACUGUCGAAAAAGAAAAACGGAGGUUUGGAAUGGAAGAAAGUCCAAGACUGCCUAGCUACAGAAUUGAAAAGUAACAACGACCUUGGGAGUGUACGUAGAAUACUUCAACUAAGUUAUGAUAAUCUUCCUUACUACCUCAAACAGUGUUAUUGUAUUUAAGUGUUUUUCCAGAUGAUUAUUUGAUAAAAAGAAGGAAGUUGAUCCGGCUAUGGAUAGUUGAAAGGUUUGUGGAAGAGAAGCAAGGCUUUACAAUGGAGGAAGUAGCAGAGGAAUACCUUAAUGAACUCGUGAAUAGGAGUUUGAUCCAAGUGGUGGAGAAGAAUUAUUUUAAUAGGGUCAAGACAUGUCGUGUUCAUGAUCUAAUGCGAGAAAUCAUUCAAAUGAAAUCCAGGGAAGAAUCUUUUGUUAUGAUAGCAAACGGAACAAGAAUCAGCAAGAAUGAGAAAGUUCGGCGUCUAUCAAUCCAUGAGAACUCUGAGGAAGUACAAUCAGAUAUGAGAUUUCCUUAUCUGUGGUCUUUGUUGUCAUUUUCUUCACAUCAUUCUUUUGAGCACGGUUUUCGCAAUUACAAUCUGUUGAGAGUGUUGAAUUUAGAUCGAGCUCCCCUUUCCACCUUCCUACCUGAAUUGGUUGAACUGAUUCAUUUGAGAUACUUAAGUUUGAGAUGGACCAUGAUAAGUGAGCUUCCAGAGUCCAUAAGGAAGCUCAAGUACUUGGAAAUACUGGAUUUGAAAAGGAGUCCUGUAUCUUCUUUGCCUGCUGGGAUCACACAAUUGACAUGUCUUUGCCAGCUCCGUAACUAUCGAUACAUUUUCCAGUCCUCAUCGUUCUUCCCAGACACUCAUGGAAUGAGAGUUCCAUCAGGAAUAGGAAGAUUGACGAGCCUGCAGAAAUUGGGAAGGGUCGAAGUGAAUGAAGAUUAUGAGUUAGUCAGGGAGUUGGGAAAGCUAACUCAGUUGAGAAGGCUGGGCAUUUUAAAGCUAAGAGAAGAGCAGGGAAUGGAUCUCUGUUAUACUUUGGACAGGUUGAAACACCUUACUGCAUUGUAUCUUGUUUCACUAAACAACACUGAAUUCUUACAAUUUGACUCUCUUUCAUCUCCUCCAAAAUAUCUCCAACGACUAGAUCUCAAAUGUAGUCUUCCAGCUUUACCAGGAUGGAUAGCUUCACUCCAGUAUAUUUCCAAUUUUCUAAUUUGAAAUGUGAUCCUCUCAAGGUCCUCCAGAAAUUGCCUAGUUUGGUGAUGCUUGAACUCCGUCAAGCUUAUGCAGGGGAAGAACUUUGUUGUGAUCCUAGUGGAUUUUCAAAGCUGAAGAGGCUAGGUCUCCAUGAACUGGAGAGAUUGCGGCGCAUCAGAAUAGCAAAGGGAUCAAUGCCUGGGUUAGAGAGGCUAGACAUCACAGCAUGCACGGUGCUAGAAACUGUGCCGGAUGGGAUUGAAAACCUGAAAAAUAUAGGAGACCUGGUUCUGUGGUAUAUGCCUUCAACGUUCAUCAAGACAAUAGAGAGCUACCGUGGUGAAGAUUUCUGGAGAGUUCAACAUAUCAGAACAAUCACCCGUAUCUACGAGAGCCAGGGGAGACGGGUCUCUGAAACUCUUCUGUAAUUAGAGGGGUUAACUACGGAGAGAAUACAGUUUCCGGAAAAUUAUAAUCUCUGUCAAGUUCCUCAGGUAAUGCUGAGCCUCAGAAAACAGAAAACUGCUGCUCUUCCCUCCUCUUCUCUGCUCCUUUGUCUCUGUUUUGCUGUUGUUGAAUCUUCCAACCUGCUAUCUUGCCCAUGUUUUAUAAAUUCAUUUUGAUGGGAUAGAGAUUGAUGCAGUGGAAUCUUGACUUCACAGGUCUACGAAGAAGAAAAACAAGUGCUACUGGAUGAUGAGAUUAAAAGACUUGUCAGAAAAUCAAAUCAAUCUUGACUUCACAGUUGUAGUAUUAUUAGUUUUUAAAAUUUUUAACCGUGUCAUCUAAUUGAAUGAUUAUACAGAGGUCCGAUGGCAUGAUGUUGGACAGAUUACGAAAACUAACCACUAGAAAACCGCAGCAUAAUAGUUGCGAUUCUUCAAUGAAGUAAAACCACCUGCGUCGCCAGUAAGGAUUUAUGUGCAUAAUAGUUGCGAUUGACAACAUCAUAAUUUUUUUUUGGUUAAUAGUAAAAAUUUUAUUAAAAAAAAACUACAAAGAUAAUAGCCUAACUUCCAUCAAAUAAACAAGCAGUGGAAAGAAAAACACAAUACUGUUACAUAAAACAAGAGAGAGCAACAAAAAAGGGAACAAACAAAUCAUAAGAAACCAACUCCUCCCGACUAAACAUUCUUUAUAUUAAGCUUUAAAGAGUUGGAAUCAAGCCUCAGCCAUAAAGCAAUACUUUGGAGCACCAUGGAGAAACAUAUUUGAAGGUUAGGGGCAACGUCAUUAAAAAUAACAUCAUUUUGGUGAAGCUAAAAAUUCCAAACAACACAUGAGAAAAGAAGUUGUCAUGAGAGAUUUUGCUGCUUGCCUUUAACCAUAGAAAACUAUUGGUAGCACAUAUCAUCAACAGAUUUUGGAAAAACACUGUAAAAGCCCCGAUUAGAAAGCAGUUUCAUCCAUAUAUUUCAAGUGAAGUGGCAGUGAAUGAAGAGGUGACUUGAAGAUUCCAAGCUUUUAUUGCAUAAAGCGCAUUCUGACUCCUGAAAGGUGAGGUAGUCAUGCUGAAAUAGAAAAUCUCUUGUGGUUACUUUGUCUUCGACAAGGAGCCAAAGGAAAAGUUGCACUUUUGGUGGGUUUAGUUUUAUCCAAACAGAAGAUUGGAAUGGUUCGGUACCAUCAUAGAGCAGCUGGUCCAUCAUUUUGGAGCAAGAUUUUACAUUAAAAAGGCCAUCGUUGUUGAGGAUCUAGAUUUUCUUAUCCAUCUUGUAACAGAAUAUUGGCUUAGAUUCCAGCAAGGAUGAUAAAAGUCAUGGAAAUGGACAAAGUGUGUUAUAAAUAGGACCUCUAUAGUUGCCUAAACUCACAUAACGAACAACAAUAUUCUACAAACUGUAGUGCUUCAUAGAAUUAUCUAAGAUUUCUGCUCUCUCUUCAUAUUUCUAUCUUCCACCAAAUCUGGGUUUGCUCAGAGUCUGUUCCACAAUGUUAGAUUUAUUUCUGAACUCUCAAGAUUUUCUUGUUUAAUUUUGUGUUUCCUCUUAAUUUAAUAAAAAUGCACAUGGUUUUAUUACUGUUGUAACCCAAUUUUGGAUUCACCAAGUUUUUCUCGAAUGUUAUUUUAUUUCUAUUAUUAUUUAUAAAAAUCCAAAAAAAUAUAAAAAAAAGUUUAAAAUGCAAAAAAAUAUUUUUUCUCGAGUCAACCGCGUCUUUCCAUCAAAACCAAGUUCACUGGGUCAAUACGGGUCAAACCAUGUUGACUAGGGUAAAAAAUGAGUUUUUGGGCUGUUUCGGGUCAAAACCAUCAUUUUCGACCAAAACCGAGUUCACUGGAUCAAUACGGGUCAAACCAUGUCGAUCAGGGUAAAAAAUAAGUUUUUGGGUUGUUUCAGGUCAAAACCGUCAUUUUCGACCAAAACCGAGUUCACCAGGUCAAUAUGGGUCAAAACCGUCAUUUUCGACCAAAACUGAGUCCACUAGGUCAAUACAGGUCUAACCAUGUCGACCGGGAUGAAAAAUGAGUUUCAGGCUGUUUUAGGUCAAAAUCUAUUAUUUUAUGUCAAAACCCGGUCCACUGGGUCGAUACCCAUUGAAAGUGUUUUUUUUUUUUUUAUGUUUUGACAUAAUUUUUAGUAAUUAAAAUUGAUUUUUAGCGGUUGAGUCAGGCUUUUUUCUAAUACUGAUUUGAGUUUUUAAUUUUACCUAUAUAAUUAUUUAUUAUUACAUAUAAUAAAACAAAAUUAAUAAUAUAAAAUUUGUAAUAUUAGGUGGUGCAUUUCAACGAUUGUAGGCAGCGUAUUUUUUCUGACAACUAUUGUAAGAAGCCUAAUUUUGCCGAUACCAUGGUAGGCGUUGUUGGCGAUUUGUCCCCUGUCACUGGCUAUGGCUAUAAAUAGCCAGCGAUAAUUCGACACAGGGGAAGGGAGGCAGAAAAGAAGUGAAAGAAUUGAUUUAUAUUUGCCACUAUUCAUUUUUUCUUGUUUUUCUUCGGGAGAGUAAGAUAUAUUUUUUUAAAAAAAACAAUUUGAAAAAUACCAAACAUAUCCCAACAAAUCUCAGCAGUUGAAAUAAUCUGAGAUUGGAUCCCGUUGCGCCACGUCACCCGAUGUACCGAGCUUUCGGUGCACCGCGCUACACCGAAUCAAAACCCAGACAAUCCGGGCCGUCCAAUCAACCUGCAGAUCAAGCCAAUCACAGCCAUCCAAUCAUUUCAUCCGAGAUCCAACGUCAUAUAGAGUUCAGCGGUACAGGUGUAUCGUGCAUGCGUUCACACCAUAGCGUGACUCAGAGCUUCUCUCUCUUCUUCCUGGCGACUCCCUCUCCCUCAUCCGAUCUCCACUUUCCGCCCAUCUCAAGCCUCCGCACCACCACAGAACGGUUGAUCCACUGGUUUAAAGCAAAACCCCGGCGAUUUUAACCGUUUUUGCCGCCUCAUCUGGCCGGAAAAAGGCCAUGAUCCUCGCAGGCCACCGAAGCUUCAAGUCGACGAUUCUCCCUCGUCAGCUAUCAACGAUCAUCGAGACCACCACCAUCAGAAUCCUCUCCAUGAGAUCUACCAAAAUCAACCAUUGAUUGGUCGUAAAGCUCGCCAGAAAGUUUCACCGCCACCAACAGUAACCGCGCGUGAGCCACACGCGCCGCCAGUGGCAUUUUUGUGAUUUUCCAAGAAAUCCGAGGGUAUUUCAGUCUGUUACCUAUACAGGGGCAUUCAGGUAAAUGUUUUGAGAUUCCUAACAUUUUUUUAUAUAAAUAUUUGUAAAUUUGCUUGCAUGUUGUAAAACAAGAAAAACAAAAAAAACAAAAACAAGUAUAAAAAGAAUAACGACACGGGUCCAACACCCAUCCUAUCAUGUUAUCGUUCGUGGGUUCCAAGCCCAAUUCUCGAAUAUGAUUAUACCCAUUUCUCAACGAUAUCAAAAUAUUUUUAUUUUAUAAACGAAUAUUGUUCGUCAACACGUCUCUUUUUUUACAGAAAAGGACCGAUGUCAAAAAGUUAAAAUACCAAAUAUGGAUUAUGUCCAUAGUUUUUUGGUAACUCAGACGUAUUUCUCAUUUUUAGGGUUAAACGUCAAUAUUUUAGACAAGUUUCCUAUUUUUUAGGAACUGAUGUCAUUUUUUUAACGUGUCUCCUACGAACGUUGUUUGUCGACACGUCUCUUUUUACAGAAAAAGACCGAUGUCAAGGAUAUUUAUACUAAAUAUGGAUUAUGUCCAUUUUUUUUUCUUUUGGUAACUCAAACGUAAAUCUUCUUUUUAGGGUUAAACGUCAAUAUUUUAGACAAGUUUCCUAUUUUUUAGGAACUGAUGUCAUUUUUUUAACGUGUCUCCUAAUUUUAGGGACCGACGUUAACUAUUUUAUUAAAAAAAACAAAAUUGCAAAUAAGCUCAAAAUAUAAUAACAUUUGAAUCAAAUAUAAAAACACACAAGUAAGGGUAACCUUUUUUUUGAAAGGAUGUUUUAAGGGUGAUGUCUACCUUCCCUUAAUCAUAACUAACCUAGUAUCUGAAUCUUUGAGACCAGUGUCUAAUUUAGGAUUUUUAAUUCCCUCAAAUUACUAGAUGGUGACUCUAAUAAAAUCUUUAUUUCCCCCAAUAAAAAAUUCUUUUGUUAAAAAAAUAACAAAAAGAGUGGAACCAUCGCCCGACGUCGUGUAUCGACAAUUACUAUAAUGAUGAGAAUCAAUAGAGUCUUGCAUUUGAAAUUAGACCCUACAAUCUAACCUCUUAAUUAGCUGUUGAGAUUGUUACAUAACAAAAUAGAACAAUCCCCUGUUUCAUGAUGUUCUUGGAUCCUUUCUCCUCUAAAUUAUCCAUUUAUCAUGCUUUUAUUCAAGUUGAAUUUGAAGUCUUGGAUUGUUAGGGUGGCAUCGUUUUCCAACAUGCCUUAAUUUCUUCCGCAAGGAAAUCAUUAGGAAAGUACUGGUUGGUGCUAUGCAACCGCAUCAGUUCCACCAUCGUCGCUAUACAAUUCAGGCGUACACGUUUCAACUUUUGACUAUUUUAUAAAUUCAUUGUUUACACUCAAUGGAGCUUAUUAAUGGCAAUUAAUGGUGAGUUCAUUAACAUUUUUAAUUUUGAUUUGAUGAUGAAGUGCCCUAAUAGUCAAUGUCAAGGUCUCAAAAUAGAUAAAUGUAAUUUUUAUAUAUAAUGUAUUUAGUUCUUAUUUUAGCUAUAAUUGAGCAAAGAAAAUUCAUUGAUACAAAUAAAUUUCAUUGCCUAAUUAAGUUUGAUGUGGUAUGUUUGGCUGAUGAGUUGAUUGGCUAGAUUAAUAAUAAUAAUAAAAAAAAAAAUCCAAAAAACAAGUUUAAAAAAUGCACCAAAAAAUGGAACACCGCAAGUUAAGUAUCGGCGUCCACGACAUUUUACGCUUUAAUUCUAACAUGUAAGAUAUGAAGCAACGCCAUGCUUGAAAAGAAAUCUGAAAAAAGCCCCCGGACAUAUAAGAUAUGAAACUUGUCAAAAACAAUCAUAAUUUUAGAUUUAACCAUUGAAUUGUGCUCUAAUUUUAUUAGAUGAUUCUGUUUUCUGUUUUUUUUUUUAAAAGUAUCCUGUUUGUAAGCAAUGAUAUAUAUAAUGGAAGGAUUACUCCAAAAAAGUGACAUGAUGAAGCGUGUGUACCAUGAUUUAUGCGUACGUGUUGUUUGGUACGUAUGUUUUCUGCUUCUUCUUUUUUUAGUUUUAUUCUUCUUCUUUUUUUUGUGUUUUUUUCUUUAAUUAGAUUAGCAUUGGUUUAUUUAAUAAUCUAAUAGACUCAAGUGUUGUUUUUUUUUAAUUAUUUAUUUAUUUAAUGUUAUUGUUUUUUUAUAUAUUAUUUAAAUUAUUCCUUGAACGAAUGACUUGAAACUUGAAUUUUUAUUAACCUGUCAUUUUUUUAAAUAAAAAAAUUAAAUUGUUCAGCCUGGCAAAGCACGGAGAGCAUAUCUAUGAAACCAUUAUCUUCUUGUUCAUUAUUAGGCACCUGCUGCAAUUGCGAGUCUGUUUCACUGCAACUUCGCAACGGAGGUCUACAACGAAAAACAAGUGAAAGGGUUGUGUGUGACAGCUGGGUCCUAUAAGCUAGAAGGUUGGGAUAAAGAGCAUUUUAAUUGCUGUAACUGGGAUUAUAGGGUUGUGUGUGACAACACCACAAACCGAGUGAUCCAACUACAUCUUUCAGAUGUAAAUUAUGAUUAUCUCAAUGCAUUCCAAGACUUGGAUCUCAAUGCCUCUUUCGUCCAAUCAUCUCUUCAAAAUUAUAUUUUGAUCUUUAAACUUUAAUCUUUUUAAUUUAAAGUUUAAAUUGACUUUAAAAUUAAUUUUUUUAACAAUCAUACCCUUUAUAAAUUCAAUUAAACUUUCAAUAAAAUUUAAUUAAAUCCAUAAACAUUUGAUUUUGAAUUUUAUUUUUUAAAAUUAAAUUUUCUUUGUCAGCAGAGUUUUCAUCAGUAAAAAAAUAUACUGUCAAAUUUUAAUUUUUAUAUUUUUAAACCUCCUCAACUAAUUUUUAGCUAUUUUUUGAACACUUUGAUAUCCGCUUCUCACUGCUAUUAUUUUUUGUUUUCUUUCAAAUAUAUUUUUUUGUGAGAAAACCCAAAAAUAGAUAACAAGAAACUGAAUAAAAGAACAAACCCUAAUUAUUAUUAUAAUUAUUUUUUGUAUUAAUUGGAGCACAUUAUAUAUAUAUAUAUAAGAAAUUGUGAUUUUUUUAUCAAAUUUCUGAAUUUCUCCAAAAAUUUUAAAAUUUUAACCCAAGCUAAAACAUUAUAUUAGAAGGCUUCACGUAAAUUUUUAGAAUUUUUUGAUACCUCAAUUAAGAAUUACAAAUUUUCUUUAUAUAAAACUAAUAAAAAAAAUAUUAAUAAAAUCUUGAACUGAACUAGAACCUACCCUAGCUGAUACAUGCCUCCACCCUUGGGUGCAGUAAGAAGAAAUUAUUGAUAAUAGAAAUCAUUUUCUAAUCUCUUCUGCCAUGUAUUUCAUAAGAUCAAAUCAAUUGUUCAUAUACAGCACCUGACUUCCCAAAGUCUAUGAAGAAAAGUAAAGCAAUAAACAAGAAGUUGGAAUAUCCUUUAAUCCAACACCACAAACCGAGCGAUCUGUGCCGUGGUGCGGGCCCCCUGGCUAGCACUGUCCGUGAAGAUUCUCCCAUUCAAUGAAGCCCAAGUCUCCCUUGGAUAAUUAAUUCAGCAUAGAAAAUUCAAUGAUACAGAUAAUUGGGAAUCUUGACCGACUUCACAAGUCUGCCAAGAAAAAAAAAAAAAAUUGAAAGUGGAUGAUGAAGGUACUGGGAAAUCACUUCAUUCCAUGAAAAAAGUUAAGGAAGAAAUUUUUUGAUUCCACAUUAUUUCCAUGUCUAUAAGAGAAAGCAAAGUAGUUUACGCAAUAAAUUGGCGGAAUUGAUAUUAACAUAUCAAAAUAAUUUGACAACACUAAAAAUAUAUUAAUUUGGAGUUAAUAAAAAAUUAAAAAAAAAAAAUUUAUUUAAAAAUACUUUUAAAACACAAAAAUAAACAUCCAUGAAAACUUAAAUUAAAUGUUCAAACAAAUGACUUCCCAAGUCUAAGAAGAAAAAAGAAAGAAAGAAGCAAAGUAGCCUAAAGGAACACCCUGUUCCACAAGCUUGAAGAAAAAUAUUAAACUAAUGAAGAAAAGUAAAGCAGUAAACAAGAAGUUGGAAUUAAUAUCCUUUAAUCCAACACCACAAACCGAGCGAUCUGUGCCGUGAAGACUCUCCCAUUCAACGCAGCCCAAGUCUCCCUUGGAUAAUUAAUUCAGCAUAGAAAAUUCAAUGAUACAGAUAAUCGUCACUGUCCGAUCAAAUGCAUUAAUUAUGACGUGUAAACAAAUACAUUUAUGAACCAAAAUUGAAAAGAUUAAGCUUGAAAAGAAAUCCGUCACCACAUGGAUCUUUUCAAAUUAAGUCUAAACGAUUCUGUUUUUGUUAUUUUAAUUAUUUUUUUAGAUAAUUUUGUAUUUUAAUUUUUUUCCUCACUUAAUUGUAAAAUCUUUUAAUUAGAUCGGUUUUAAACUUUUAUUUCAACAAUUGGAGUCGGUUAGAGUUAGUUAACAAUAAAAUAAAUGGUAGGAGAAUUAUGUAAGAGUCACGCAAGAAAUAACAGAAUCAUUCUCCUCUCAUUUAUUUCUCUGUUUUCCUCCUGCUUCAUUUUGUUAAGCCAAGCUUAACAGAUGAUUAUAUUAUGAAGCUCGUAAUUGAUGGUUUUAUUUAUUUAUUUUUUGUAAGCCAUUGAUAAUGAUUUUUUUUUUCAUUUUUUCCUUUCUUCGAUCAAAUUCGUUUUGAUGAUGUGGAUUAUAGGAAUCUUGACUUCCCAAGUCUAUGAAGAAAAGCAAAGCAGUAAACAAGAAGUUGGAAUUGAUAUCCUUUAAUCCAACACCACAAACCGAGCGAUCUGUGCCGUGGUGCGGGCCCCUGGCUAGCACUGUCCGUGAAGACUCUCUCAUUCAAUGCAGCCCAAGUCUCCCUUGGAUAAUUCGGCAUAGCAAAUUCAAUGAUACAGAUAAUUGUCACCGUCCGAUCAAAUGCAUGAAGAGGACAAAAUUCUAUAUAAGAGACAGCUUUUGCUUGCUUUUGUAUUUUGUCAAGUAGGAGCGUUAAUAUGAAGACGAGGCAAAUGUGGGUGUGGAUGCUGCUCAUGGCACUGGCCUUCCUCAACGACCGGAGCCAUUGUUGUUUGGACGAAGAGAGAAUUAGUCUCUUAGAGAUAAAAGCUUGGUUCUAUCAUGCAGGUGCAGCUGUGUCCUAUCAGCUACAAGGUUGGGAUAAAGAGCAUUUUAAUUGCUGUAACUGGCAUAGGGUUGUGUGCGACAACACCACAAACCGAGUGAUCGAACUAGAUCUUUUUAAUGUAAAUUAUGACGGUCUCAAUGCAGUCGAAGACUUGUAUCUCAAUGCGUCUUUGUUUCUGCCUUUCAAAGAACUGGAGAUUCUCGACUUAAGAGACAACCAAUUAGUUGGUGGCUUAAAGAACCAAGGUUCUAUGCUUUCAAUUUUCUUUUAGAUAACACAUAAAGUUACUUUUAUUUCAAGUAACUUUACAUUGAAUCUUUAUGGAUAUUGGGAUGGUUGAUAUAUAAAUCUGUUAAUUGUCUUUGCUUCUGACAAUCUUCUUUCAGGUUUUCAAGUCCUAGCUUCAGGAUUGAGGAAUUUGAAAGAACUUUAUCUAACUUACAAUAAAUUGAACGACAGCAUUUUAUCAUCUUUCAGUGGUUUUUCAACUCUCAAAUCUCUAGAUCUAUCAGCCAAUAGGUUCACAGGAACAAUUGAUCUCAAAGGUAAAGUUAUAAAUCAUUCCUACCUCGCGUGACAUUCCUUAGUAUGCUUAAUUUAUUCUUUAGUAAACUUGUCUAAUAAUAGAAAAAAAUUACGCACGUAAGAAAUAACAGAAUCAUUCCUUUGUUUUCCUUCUGCUUAACAGAUGAUUAUAUUACAAUACACAAAAUGGAUACUUCCACUUUAUAUGUCAUAUGUUAGAAUUCAUGAAUAUUUGGUUAUUAAAAUAUUGAUAUAAUGUCAAAAAAUUAACACAAAAAUUUAUAUUUCAUUGAAUUUAUAUGGAUAUUGGGAUGGUUGAUAUAUAUAUAUAUAUAUAUAUAUAUAUAUAUAUAUAUAUAUAUAUAUAUAUGCUAAUUUCUUUGCUUCUGACAAUUUUCUUUCAGGUUUUCAAGUGCUAGUCUCAGGGUUGAGGCAAUUAGAGGAACUUGAUUUAAGUUACAAUAAAUUUGACGAUAGCAUUCUAUCAUCUCUUAGUGGAUUUUCAACUCUCAAAUCUUUAAAUCUAUCAGGCAACACGUUCACAGGAUCAACUGGUCUCAAUGGUAAACUUAUAAAUCAUUCCUACUUUGGAUGCCAUUCCCUCGUGAGAUUUAAUAAUUACAUGUGUAUUAACCCUUAAGUAAUUUUUUGGAUGAAGCCUUAAAAAGGCUUUAUAUAAUUAAUUCUUUAACGAGUGAAAUAAUUUGAAACUUACAUAUACAUGCUAUUAAUUUUUGUUCAAUUUCUUAAUUUAUUUUUAAAUAAAUGAAGGUGAAUAUUUAAUUAACAAAAUUUUAAUAUCAUAUUAAAAAUUAUUUUAAUUUUAAAACUUAAGCUAUGUAUAUUAACUCUAACAUUAUAAAUUAUUUAAAUAUUGUAAAUAAUUAUUAUUGAUUGUUCUCUCUAUCACAGGUUUAAGGAGAUUAGAAACCUUGUAUCUGGAUUCAACUGACUUCAAGGAAAGCGUUUUGAUAGAGUCAUUGGGAGCGUUGUCAUCCCUCAAGACCUUAUAUGCCAGUGGUAGUAAGUUUACACACUUUAGGAAAGGUCAGUGACAGUUUUGAUGCCUAAAACAAUGUGAUAUUUAUAAUAUAUUGAUGGAUUUAUUUGAUCUGUUCCACAGGGUUGUGGAAUUCGACUAGCCUUGAAAAAGUGUCCCUCGGUUAUUCUUCUCUCCCAGCAAGCUUUCUUAGGAACAUUGGACCCUUGUCUACUCUUAAAGUCUUGUCCUUGAACGGAGUUGACUUCAAUAGCACCCUACCUGCCCAAGGUAAUUAAAAUCUAAUCUUUAUACAAAUCCAUGGAAGAACAAUUAAAGAACCUCCUUCAAUUCAAAUAACAUUGUUCAUUAAUAUUUGUGUUAUAGAAAAGGAUAAAAUCUAGAGUUUUUCAAUCUUAAAUUAUAGAAAAAACUUUGAGUAAAAAAAGUUAUGAAUAUCAAUAAUCUAGAUAAUUAAUCUCUAAAAAAACUAACAAACAAAGUUGUUUAAAUAAAAUCUAAAACCGACAUAGCUAAUGAAACAAAAAUCAACUAAAACUUUAAAACCUCACUAAGCAAUUACAUAAUUCAUAUAUUCAUAUUCCCUUAACAUGAACAUAUGAAUAUAUUCUCCAGGUUGGUGUGAACUGAAGAAUCUUGAACAUCUAUUUCUCUCGGGAAACAAUCUAAAGGGCGUACUCCCUCCUUGUUUUGGAAAUCUAUCAUUUCUACAAUUCUUGGAUUUAUCUGACAAUCAAUUGGAGGGAAAUAUUGCUUUUAGUCACCUUUCCCAUCUUACGCAGCUCAGAUACCUCAAAGUUUCAAAUAACUACUUUCAAGUUCCAAUAUCAUUUGGUUCAUUUAUGAACCUCUCCAGCCUCAAGUUCAUUGAAUGCGAUAACAAUGAGCUAAUAGCUGCACCUAGUUUUCAGCCUUCAGCUCCCAAGUUCCAGCUUCUUUUCUUUAGUGCUUCAAAUUGUACUCCAAAACCACUCGAGGCUGGAUUUCCAAACUUCCUCCAUAGCCAACAUGAUUUGGAGUUUGUUGAUCUAUCCCACAACAAGUUCGUUGGAGAACCUUUCCCAUAUUGGCUGUUUGAGAAUAAUACAAAGUUAAAUCGACUAUAUUUGAGAGACACCUCAAUUACAGGUCCUUUGCAGCUGCCACAACAUCCAACACCCAACCUUCACACAGUAGAUAUUUCUGGCAACACCAUACAUGGUCAAAUUGCAAGGAACAUAUGUUUGAUUUUUCCACGUUUGAACAACUUCAUGAUGGCUAACAACAGCCUCACAGGUUGUAUUCCUCCUUGUUUUGUUUUGGGAAUAUGAGCUCUCUCAGAUACUUGGAUCUUUCCAACAAUCAUAUGUCUUGUGAACUGCUUGAGCAUAAUUUGCCAACAAAGGGCUCCUUGUGGUUUUUGAAGCUGUCCAAUAACAACUUCAAUGGGCGAUUACCACCAUCUGCGAUCAACAUUACUUACCUAUUUUACCUCUUUCUAGAUGGAAACAAAUUUACAGGACAAGUAUCUGAUACCUUUUCUCUUGCAUCACUUUUGUGGUUUGAUAUCAGUAACAAUCUUUUGUCAGGCAUGCUUCCAAGGGGAAUGGGGAACUCUUCAAAAUACCAUCUUAAGGGAAUUGAUUUGUCCAGAAAUCAUUUUGAAGGUACCAUUCCAAAAGAAUAUUUCAAUUCUUAUAUGCUUGAAUUUUUAGAUCUUUCUGAAAACAAUCUGUCUGGGUCAUUGCCGUUGGGCUUCAAUGCAUCAUGGUUACGCUAUGUCCACCUUUACAGAAAUCAAUUGAGCGGUCCAUUGCCAUAUGACUUUUAUAAUCUCUCUUCGUUGGUGACAUUAGAUCUCGACGAUAACAACUUAACUGGGCCCAUUCCAAAUUGGAUUGAUAGCCUUUCUGAAUUGAGCAUUUUUGUUCUCAAAUCUAAUCAAUUCAAUGGGAAACUUCCUCAUCAGUUAUGCUUGUUAAGGAAAUUAAGCAUAUUGGAUCUUUCAGAAAAUAAUUUUUCUGGUCUGUUACCCUCAUGUUUGAGCAAUUUAAAUUUUACGGCAUCGGAUGAAAAAACUUUGGAUCCCCCUCGUACGGGGAUACUAAAUGGUGGAAUAAUCCGGGAAGAAAUAUUUGCAUCCAUAGGGGGAAGAGAAUUGGAAAACGAAGGUUUUUAUCCUGAUGACGAAGUUUUGUGGCCAGAGUUCAGUGUAAAAAUAGCUGUAGAGCUUACAUCAAAGAAAAAUUUCUACACUUACGAAGGCGAUAUCCUUCGUUACAUAUCUGUUAUGGAUCUUUCUUGUAACAGAUUCACUGGAGAAAUCCCGACAGAAUGGGGAAACUUAAGUGGGAUAUAUGCUCUAAAUCUGUCACAAAAUAAUCUCACUGGAUUGAUCCCUCCAUCUUUCUCCAAUCUGAAGCAGAUAGAGAGCUUGGAUCUUUCACACAACAACUUGAAUGGGAGAAUUCCUGCACAACUCGUUGAACUGAACUUUCUAGCAGUUUUCAACGUGUCGUACAAUAAUUUGUCAGGAAGAGCACCGGAGAGGAAAUAUCAAUUUGCUACCUUUGAUGAGAGCAGUUAUAAAGGGAAUCCUCUUCUUUGUGGACCUCCAUUGCAUGACAGUUGCGACAAAACAGAAUCACCAUCAGCAAGAGUGCCUAACGAUUCCAACGGAGAUGAUGGAUUAAUAGACAUGGACAGUUUCUAUGUCAGCUUUGGUGUGUUUUACAUAAUUGUGGUGUUGACAAUUGCAACAGUACUGUGCAUAAAUCCGCAUUGGCGACGCAGGUGGUUUUACUUCAUUGAAGAAUGCAGUGACACUUGCUAUUGCUUUUUGGCUAUAAACUUUCCCAAGUUGUCCAAAUUCAGAAGGUGAUUGGAUCUUAUCAGGAGCGUGUGGGUUGCUUUCUGAAUUUGUUGUACUCCUCUGUGGAGAAGCAGUCGUAUUCCAAAUCAAUGGUUUCUCACUGCAUGUUUAGCAAUUUGCCUGUGAGAAGUGAUAUGUGAAAGUGUUCUUGCUUAGCCUUUCUGUUUUGAUGUGACUUGUGUUUGUCCUUGUGCUUGUAUCCAUAUUUGUUUGUUUAUUUGUUAUGUCUUAAUUAUGUUGAGGAACCAACCAAUAUUUCUUGGCUUCUUGUGAUUUCUAUAGCUAUUUAAGCCUUACUUGUGGGCUAUUUUAAAUAUCAAGAGUUUAUUUCAGAUUUUUCUCUCCUGUUGGGUCUCUUUCAAGCCCAUUUUGCACUUAAUUUUGAAUUCUUUUAAUUAAAUCGGUUGUAAACUUUUAAAUCAACAAUUGGAGUAUUGUUUUAAGAUUAGAUUAUUUAAUUGUAAUUUUUCUGAAAAAUACGAGAGUUUUUUUUUCUUUAUUCCUCUAUAAUUUCAAGGCUAUAAGAGAACCUUAAUUCAUUCACGCCUCAUGAAAUUCAAUUUGGACAGUGGUGGUAUAAGGAAACGAAAAGGUUGUUAUAAAAAUUAAGAAUUUUGAAUGUUUCAUUUUAAAAUGGUUACUACUUUUUAAUUUCAGAUUGUUGAAUCUUCUGUUUGCUUCAAGCUUGAUGAUACAUGUCGAACGUCAAAAAUCCGCGCGGCGAUUUUCGCUUCGGUGAUUUUUCUUUUUCGUUCCUUUCGCUUUCGCUUGAUUUAGAGUCUUAAGAGUCGCCACCUAGUAUUUAUUGAGGGUUACUAAGAAACUCAAAUUUACUGGUCAUGGUCAAAGAUUCAAGGGUAAAGAACUGAUUGUGACUAGAAAAGGUAUUAGCAUCCCUAGCACACCCUACCUGAGAUAAACUGCUUUUGCAAUUUGAUACGGUUUGAAAAUUUAAAAUAUUAAUCAAAUUCUUAAGGCUUUAAUAAAUCAGUUAUUAAAUCUCAUUAUAUAUGUAAAAACUUAUUAUUAUAUUUUCAUAAAAAAUACAACUUGAUUUUAUUUGUGCUUUGAGAUAUUUAACCAUAUUCAAAUUAAACCAUAAAUUUUUGUCUUUUUGAUUUUUAUAAUUUAAUAACAUAAAUAAAUAAAAAUACAAAACACCCACUUCCACGUCACCUUUUACUAUGUUUUUCUGUUACAAUUUUUUACAACAUAACAUAAACUAAAAACAUUUAACAGCCAUUUUAAAUACAUAUAUUCAAACAUGUAAAAAUUACAAAAAAGGUCCCUAAAGAGCCCAGGAACUGCAGAGGAGGCCCUCAGGAACUGUGGAAGCAGUGCGGCGCGUCUGAUUCACGCGCUGCCGCGAAAAGACCGGCAGCAGGGGAGAUCCGAAACGGCUUCCUCCCCUCUUAAUUUUCCUCGCCGGCGGCGACCACGCUGUCACCUGCAAAACACCAAAACGCAACAAACAGUGAUUUUAGUUUUUCUUUUUCUUUUUCAGAUCUGUCUCGGUCUUCCUUCUUCCUCUUGAUUUUCUGCUCUUCCCUUCUUCUGGGUUCAGCGCCGCCGUUGCGUGUUGCCAUCUCUAUGGUUGAAGAUCGGAGAAGAAGCUGUCGUGGCCGGUGGCGCGUCAGCACACGUGACGAUGACACUCGGGGGGAAUCAACUCAAAGGACUGACCGCCGCUGCUGGCUGAGAUAGCGGUUCAGUGGCUGAUCUGCAGGCCGUCCAUGGCCACUGCCGUGCGUGGGGGCGGAGCUGCUACGGGGAGAAGAUUAGUGGCUGCUCUGGUUUGGGAGCAGAAGCUCCCGAUUCAAAACCUCAAGGCCAGGGGUUUCUCUUAAAUUUUUGUGAGAGAUUGGAAAUGGUGGCUCUUAUUCUGUGAGCUGGAGGAUGACAGAUCGGUGAAGACAGGGAAAGCUGGUUUGGGUAGUCCGUGGUUGGCUGGGGGAUCGGCUAUGGCUUUCUUUUUUCAAGGCUGAGGGCCGCCUGGCUUUUAUUGGCUGGGAGUUGGGUUUCCUUCGAGGGGCGGCUGCCUGUUGGCUGAGAGUGAGAGGGUUUUCAGCCGGGGAAAAUGGGGAGAGUGGACAGAGAAGGGAAAGGAAACCACCGUUGGAGGGGCGGCGGCGGCACUGCUCUUCAAAGGCCAGGGGUGGUUGAGUGUGAGAGGGUGAGGUUUUAGGGUAUUUUUCUUUUCUUUUUCCCGGGUCCCCCUGAAUAAAAAUUCUCCCCUCUCCCUCGUGAGUCAAUUUUUUUCCCGUCUCAAUUUCUCCCCCUUUUCUUAUUUGGACCAUUGUUUAGGUUUUCAAAAUAGUCUCCCAAUUUUUCUUUUCUUUUCUUUUCUUUUCUUAUUUUUUUUUGUAAAUUUUAAUUUUUUUUAUUUUUUUUUUGUAUUUUUAAAAGCGGGCAAUAUCAACGUCGACUCAACAAGAAAAAAUUAGUGAUUGGAAAAUUUACGCGUUAAAAGUUGAACGCGUUCAAAACUCUUAAAAAUUUAAAUUUUUUUGAGAUGACGUUGAAAAUGCUAAAAACAAUGCAAAUACAUCAAAAAUAUAUUUUUUAGGUUUUUUUUUUUUUGCUAUUUUUUAUUUUUUUGAAAAUUUAUAAAAAAAUAUAGGUCAAAAAUUGGAUAGCAACAAUAUAAAUUACUUGUUCCAAUCUUAUACUUGGCUCCUCCAAGCCUGAGAGGGAAUGUAAAGAUAUCAAAGGCUCUAGUCCUGCCACAUGUCAAAAGAUUAGAGAAUAAAAUGGUUAGAAUGUUGAUAGUAACUCUUAGUCUUAUUUGUCAGUUAAAAGAAUCAGUUAAUAUUAUUUAGUGAAGAAUAGAUAACAUGAAUAAGCUUCCUACUGUAGCAAUAUAUAAACCAAGCUGUUGAGAGUAUUGAAUUUAGAUCGAGCUCCCCUUUUCCAACUUCCUACCUGAAUUGGUUGAAAUGAUUCAUUUGAGAUACUUAAUUAAGUUUGAGAUGGAUCAUGAUAAGUGACCAUCCAGAGUCCAUAAGGAACCUCAAGUACUUGAAAAUACUUGAUUUGAAAGGGAGUCUUGAAUCUUCUUUGCCUGCUAGGAUCACACAAUUGACAUGUCUUUGCCAGCUCCGUAACUAUUAACACAGUUUCCAGUCAUCAUCGUUCUUCCCAAACUCUCAUGGAAUGAGAAUUCCAAUAGGAAUAGGAAGAUUGACGAGCCUACAAAAAUUAGGAAGCGUUGAAGUGAAUGAAGAUUAUGAGUUAGUUAGGGAGGUGAGAAAGCUAACUUAGUUGAGAAGGGAAUGGAUCUCUGUUAUACUUUGUGUUGCUUCUCAUUUUUUUUAUCCUCACACAAAAAAGAAAAAAAAGUGAAGAAAUAAAAAAAAAACAUCAAAAGAAAACAAAAAUAUAUAAAAGUAAAACAACGAUAUAGGGAAGCUCAAAAAAUGAUCAAAGAUUAGUUAUGGAAGUUCAAAAAUAUAAAAAUUGAAAUUGAACAAUAUGUUUUCAAUUCAAUUGAAGGAAGAAAAGUUUAAAAUCAAAUGUUUAAAGACUCAAUUAGAUUUUGUUGAAAGAUUAAUUGAGUUUAUGAAGGGUUAAAUUGCAAAAAAAAAUUGAUUUUUAAGUCAAUGUUUCCUUCAAUUUGAAGAAAUUAAAAUAUGGGGGUCGUAUUACAAUUUUUAAGAGUUAGUUUGGUCAAAUCAAGGGCUUAAUUGCAUAAACAUUGAAACUUGAUGGCACUUAGGGACUUGAUUAAAGAAAACCAAAACUAAGGACCAAACUAGAAAAGACACAUAAAUAUAAGGGAUGGAAUUAACCAAAUCAAGGGAUAAAUUGAAGAAAUUGAAAAUUUGUUGAUCAAUUAAGGGUCAAAAUACACUAAUUCAAAACCAAUAACCAAAGUGAAAAGAGCAGUCAACUUCAGGGCUAGCUUUUGAAUUUGACAAGGAUGUAAUUGAAUUGAUUCUUAAAAUUAAAAUCUCAACUGAGGGCUUGAUUAAAUAAAUUGAAAAUUAAGGACUGAUUUGGAAACAAAAGCUUUCUAGCGCUAUUUUUUUUUAAAUGAAACAACGAGUUUCGUUCAAAACAAUGUCGCUUCAUUCAUUAUUCACAUUAAAAAAAAUAGAGAGAAAACAGUGUCAUUUUGUACGUAUAUCUUCUCCCCUUCCCAUGGACACACUACAAGCAAGGGAAGAAGAAGAUUGUUCCCUCACUUCCCUUGCAGCGCCACUCUCCCUCUCUCCUAAAAACCAACAAGACCCACUACCCCUGGCUAGCACUGUCCGUGAAGACUCUCUCAUUCAAUGAAGCCCAAGUCUCCCUUGGAUAAUUAAUUCAGCAUAGAAAAUUCAAUGAUACAGAUAAUUGUCACUGUCCGAUCAAAUUAACGCGUGAAGAGGACAAAAUAGUAUAUAAGAGACAGCUUGCUUGCUUUUGUAUGUGGUCAAGUGGAGCGUUAUGAAGAUGAGGCAACUGUGGGUGUGGAUGCUGCUCAUGGCACUGUCCUUCCUCAACGAGCGGUGCCAUUGUUGUUUAGAAGAAGAGAGAAUUAGUCUCUUAGAGAUAAAAGCUUGGUUCUAUCAUGCACGUGCAGCUGGGUCCUAUGAUCAGCUAGGAGGUUGGGAUAAAGAGCAAUAUUUUGAUUGCUGUAACUGGCAUAGGGUUGUGUGUGACAACACCACAAACCGAGUGAUCGAACUACAACUUUCAGGUGUAAAUUAUGAUGGUUUCAAUGCAGUCGAAGUCGACUUGGAUCUCAAUGCGUCUUUGUUUCUGCCUUUCAAAGAACUGGAGAUUCUCGACUUAAGCGCCAACCAAUUAGUUGGUGGCUUAAAGAACCAAGGUUCUAUGCUUUCAAAUUAUGAUGGUUCUCACACACACACAUAUAUAUAUCUGGUAAUUGUCUUUGCUUCCGACAAUUUUCUUUCAGGUUUUCAAGUGCUACCUUCUGGGUUGAGGAAUUUGGAAGAACUUGAUCUAAGGGACAAUAAAUUUAACGACAACAUUUUAUUAUUUUUUAGUGGAUUUUCAACUCUCAAAUCUCUAGAUCUAUCAGGCAAUAUAUUCACAGGAUCAACUGAUCUCAAUGGUAAAGUUGUAAAUCAUUCCUACCUCUAAUGGCAUUCCUUAAUGAAGCUUAAUUUAUUCUUUAGUGAAUUUGUUUAAUAAAUAGAUGUGUAUUAACCAUUAACUUUUGUUCAAUUUUUAAAAUUUUAUUAAAGGAAUGGAGGUGAUAUGUUAGAAUUCAUGAACAUUUGGUUAUUAAAAUAUUGAUAUAAUGUUAAAAAAUUAACACAUAAAUUUAUAUUUCAUUGAAUUUAUAUGGAUUGGGAUGGUUGAUAUAUAUAUAUAUGUUAAUUUUUUUGCUUUUGACAAUUUUCUUUCAGGUUUUCAAGUGCUAGCUUCAGGGUUGAGGAAUUUGGAGGAACUUGAUCUCAGAAACAAUAAAUUUAUCGACAACAUUUUAUUAUCUCUCAGUGGUUUUUCAUCUCUCAAAUCUCUAGAUCUAUCAAACAAUAACUUCACAGGAUCAAUUGGUCUCAAUGGUAAAGUUGUAAAUCAUUCCUAUCUCGAAUGGCAUUUUUUCUCGUGUAUUAACUCUUAAGUUGUUGCCUUAAAAAGGCUUUAUAUAAUUAAUUCUUUAAUGCAUUUUUUAAGUGAAAUAAUUCUGCGUUUGAAACUUAUGUAUGCUACUAAUUUUUCUUAAAGUUGUAAAUCGUUACUACUAAUGUUGGUUGAAUUUUUUAAUUUUUUGAAAAUAAAUGAAGGUGAUACGAGUAUUAAUUAUUAAAAUUUUAAUAUUAUAUUAAAAAUUAUUUUAAUUUAAAAACUUAAGCUAUGUCUUGUAACAUUAUAAAUUAUUUAAUUAUUAGUGAUGGUUCUCUCUGUCACAGGUUUAAGGAAUUUAGAAAUCUUGUAUCUGUAUUCAAAUGACUUCAAGGACAGCGUUUUGAUAGUCAUUGGGAGCGUUGCCAUCCCUCAAGACCUUAGAUGCACGUUUUAGUAAUUUUAUACACUUUGGGAAAGGUCAGUGACAAUUUAAUUUGGUGCCUAAACCAAUAUGAUAUUUUAUAAUAUAUUGAUGGAUUUAUCUGAUCUGUGCCACAGGUUUGUGGAAUUCGAAGUGACAGUGUUUUCUUGAUCAUAUCCAGACUCAUUUGCAGGUGGUUUAUUUUUAAUUCAGCAUGUGCCCAGGACCCUUCAAUCCAUUGAGCCUUCCUCUCUUGCAACUUGUUCCUUGUAGCCAGUUGCAACUUCAAAAGAUUAUUAAGACGCAUAUCCAUCUGCCGUUUAAGUUUUUCGAACUCUUUUGCAUAUACAUUAUCCAGCAUCUUAAUAGGGUGUUUAGGAGUGUGGUAACUGUUGCUUUUCAAAUAGCUUUUCAUGCCGAAAAGUAUGUCAAUAAUAAUUUUUUUAUUUUUUAAAAAUUAUUUUUUAUAUCAACACAUCAAAACGAUCCAGAAAGUACAAACCAAACUCAAUUUUAGCAAAUAAAAAUAAAAUUGAAAUUGUACAAAAAACAGGUUGCACCGCAGUGCCAAACGGGCACUAAGUUUAUCCACUUAACUAUUACUGUGUAAACGAAUAACAGCUGCCUCUGUUCUUUGCUUAUGUUCGAGCUCCACCUUGUCUUGCUCAUACUUCUUUUCAAACUCUUCCCUUUCUUCUUGUUGCCUAUGCAAUAACUUCCUCAUCUGUUUAUCACAUUUCUUUUCAAUGUCUUUGAUACUUUUUGAGUAAUCUUUUUGUGCCAAUUCCAGAUGAGAAAGGACCUGAUCGAUGGAGAACUCCUGACCAGAUCUGAGGUUUUCAACCUCCAUUCUCACUUUUUGCAUGUUAGAUGGUGUUGACAGUGAAGAUCUUCCAUUUGACUGAUUAUGACUGAAAUCUUCUAAUGAAAAACCUGAAGCUUUUGGAGAGCCAGCUACCUUACAAGUCCCAGUGCGAUAAAGAAAUACUUUCCUCAGACAUCGCAACUUUGAGUAAACAAAAUCUGCCUCGUCUUUCUUGCAGCUGAAAUUCAAAUGCUCUUUUGCAAGUGCAAGUGAUUCUUUGUGAUCAAGUUUGUGCUUUAGCAUGGAAGCUGCAGUCCAACACUGCAAUAUGAACAGCACAAAGUAAAGCAGGCCGUCAGCAAAAGGUAUCAAACAUUUAUGUGAUCACUCACCAGCACAGUUCACAAGGAAGGAAAAAAGAAGGCAUGCUCAGUAAUUAUCACAGAUAUAGAAAAUGCAGAAGCACCAAAAAGCAAGGGAUGAACAGAAACAAGGAGAGAGAGAGACAGACCGCUGAAGUCAAGAAUGUCAACACCAAAUUUCUUAAAUCCAAUUAGUAUGAAAAACAAAAGGAGAAUAAUUCAUUGACACUGUAGUUUCCAUCCUAUGAUAAAGAUCUUACAAGUAGAGGGCAAACCAACCUGUUUUAGUUUGCUUUAGGCACUUUCCCAUUAAAUUAUUUUCUUUCCUAGAUAAAUAGAUAGGACCUAAGAAACAAGAAUCAUAUCUUCCAAGUGUGAUUAGAAUUUCACAUUUCUAAUCGACUUAUUUCAUGUUUACAAUUCUUUUUUAUCCAGGUCUUCUUACUAUUCUUAAAUAGAGGAUGUAGUAGAAUAUGAAAGAUUUUUUUCAUCUUCAAAAUAAUCAGAUAUGAUUAAUUCCAACCUCAAUUCAGAUAAAAAGCCCACUCCAUAAUCCUUCAUUACACUGAAACAAUCACCUUAUUCACAAGGAGUAAAUAAUGCAUUCAACAAAAAGCAUACUAGAAUGUUUGAUAUAGGUAUUUUUAAAAAAUACCUCCCUUCAAUUUCCUCAAUAUGUCAGGUCAUAUUUUUGGCUGCAAAUCUUGUAUCCCUAGCGAUUCCUCCUCUUUUUAAUUCCUAUGUACUAUCGCUUUAGAUCGAAGGUGUAAAAUGACCCCAACAGAGGAUACAAAAGCUUGAACUCUGCUUGUUAGUUUUCGAAACUUGGUCAUUUUACACUUCUUAAAACAACCAGUCGCAUUGCAAAAAUAGGAAUUAACAAUUUAGAAAAGGUAGAUAACAUGUCAUGCAUUUAGAGAUCUGUCAGAUUCAAAACCAACCAGUAAGAUAUUAAAGCUAUUGCAAAUGCAAUGAACAUUUCAAAAUAUCCUCAAAUUCAACAACCAUGAUCCAAAAUGACAUGACAUCGUAAAGCAUCGUUUUACAGUAGUGACUGACUUAUUAUGUUUUAAUCAGAGGGUGUAAGAGUUGUGUCACAAGGAAAUUAAUGAUCAAACAGCAGGAAAUAUAGAAAAAAGAAGGUUCUAACCAAGGAUAUCAGAAAUGCCUGCAAUAAGCUAGGUGGUUCUCUACUGACAUGGUGAUUAUUCAGUACAUAUUCCCGAAACUGUUCCACCAUGACUUUGACAUUUUCCUGAAGGGAUAGUGAAACAUGUCAACAUAACGACAUCAUCAAAGAAAUACUGCUGCAUAAUCUUGAGAUCAAUUAUGAAAAUAACGAUGUUUCCUGAUACAUGACCCAGCAACUUCCAGCAAAUUCAUAAGUCCAGAGUAAACAUGUUAAUAAAGUAAAAGAACCCAUCACAGCAGUAAGCAUAUCAUUUCCCUCACUUUUAAUAGAGUGAAGAUAGAAUUUGGUUAAUUGAGUCCUGGCAAUGUAAGCAAACUAAGACCAGAGAGGGUUUUCUUCUAUUUUUUAAGUUUUCCUUUUUCCUUUUAUAUUGUUACUCAGUGACACACUAGAGGAGACGGAAAAAAUAGCAGAUCAUCAUUGUCAGAAUGCUAAGAAACAUAAAAUAUCAAACAAAUCUUCCUAUUUCAAUGGAUGACAAGGGAGAGGAUUUGUGAUUACAUUGAGAGAACAAGAAAUUAACAAAUAAAAAUAAAAUUCAAAAGCAACAUUUGAUGGUGAUGAUAUUCCAUUUCAAAUAGGAAUUGAGUGAAAUUGAAAUUCAAUAGUGCCCAAAAAUGCAAUGCUCUCUAGGCCAAGAAAUUCUUAGUAUCUUUAUCUCAUUAAGAUCUAAAACAGUUAUUUCAAUCCAAUGCCAACAGUAGGGAUCAUUGCAAGGUUGAUGGCUUGAAUGCACAAAAAGUAGGGUAUUUACCAGAUUUUUUCUUCUUUAUUUCUAUGCUUAAAAUCAAUUCUGAAACCAAUUCAAAGUACUAAGAAUAGCAGUAGAUAGGCAGACCCAAUACACCACAUCAAAGAACCUACUGCAGCAUUCAUGAACAAGUGCUAGAGAAAUUAACUUCAGAGGGAUGAGAUGCAUACUGGGAGUUGCAAAAUUUCACAAAGUUUUGCUAUCUCAGGCUUCAAAAAAAGAUGGAGACUCUUCUCAGAAUCAUCAUGCAAGUUCCUUCCUCCAUCAUACCCAACCAUGUCGGCUUUCAGUACUUGUGAUAAUUUACUAGUCAAAUGUGAGAAGUUGGAAACGUGAUUCACAUCAGUUGUGUUAAGAAGGCCAAUUGAACUUGGCAUGACUUGAGAAAUCUUAUGCACUGGAGCUCCAGAAGUUCCUGCAGAAAAAGAGACAUUUUAUGAAGAUUAAUUAAAAAAAUCAAGGAAAUCCCACAAUGUUUGCCACCUAAUACUCUGAGAAGAGUACCAUCUGUGCAUACAGGAUAAGGAACAAAACCAGAACAAUUAAUCAACAGUGAAACUAGCCAGUUACCUAUUAAAGCAGCUUUCAGAGAAGGCGAAUCAGUGUUAUUGUUGGACACUUUAUUGCGCUUCUUUAACCUUUGCCUUUCGGAACAUGAAUCCACAGAAUCAGUUCUGCCGCGCUCAUAUGGAGCUGCAUCGCCAUCUUCAUUUGAAACCAUUUCCGUAGCAUCAAAAUUCAAGUCGUCAAUACUUCUUUUUUGUUUAGAAGACAUCACUUUGCAACCACUCUUCACCUCAGUAUCAACCCCAGGUGUCCUAUUUACUAUCAGAUCUUGGCUACCUUCCAGUUUAGCUUUCUUUUGUUUCUGUUUGAACUGUUCCCUGUAAGCACGAGCAUCCAUUCUCUUAAUUCCAACCAGGACAGUUUUGAUAACAGGUUUGUCACUGUUUCCAACUUCUUGAGUUUCAAGUUGUUUAACACUCUUCUCUUUCUUGUGCUUUUCCUUCAUAAUUAAAGAGCCGGAGCUUUUACCACACUUUGUUGAACCAGAAGAACUAGAUGACGACUGAUUCUUACCCUUCUCAGGCCUUCUAGAAGGAGUCGGUAAACUUUGUUUCUCGACCAAUCUCUCAGAUUUCCUCGUAACAGGAGGAAUUGUGGGGGGGGUCUGCUUCUCAAUACGUUCAGACUUUCUACUACUUGAAGGGCUUGGAGUCAAGUUUUUCUUCAAUGAUGUUUCUCUAGCUGACUUUCUUAGACCACAAGUAUCAUUAGCAGCACCCAAACUGCUUGAUGAUCUGUUACCAAUGUUUCUCCCUUUUAUAUCAUUACUUUCCUCAUCCUUACCUUUACGACUAACCUUGGUAUCAUUUCCCAUCCUGCAAGCUGUAAACCACAAACAACAACAACAACAUGAGAUUCCAUUAAAUAAACCAGGUCAGGCUUAACAUUGAUGUUUCACAAGCAAUUGACCAAACUAAACCCAAGUAUCCCUAUAUUGGCAAACCAAUCCCCCACUCUUCCACUUACAUUCAACCCCAUAAAAAAAUUACUAUAUUUGAAGCAAUCUUACAAAAACUUAGACUGGAUAUUCUUGGAAAUUAUGAACAACAUUCUCAUAAAGAAAAAAAAAAGUAUUCAUUAUUAGAAUUUCCAAGUACAAUAUUCUCAUAAAAGAAACAAAAAUUGCCAAAAAACUUAAUUCUUAGAAUUUCCAAGCAAAACGUUCUCAAAAAGAAAGAAUAAUAGCAAAAACAAUGAAAGGCUUAGAAGACAUCAACAAUGUACAAUCAAGGCUGCAUGUUCAUUUCAAUCACUGCAAUGCCAUUCACAAUCACCGAACCGCAAGAACCUAACGAAAAAAUCAACAGAAACUACACCAAAAUUACGCUAAACAAAACCCUAAGUCACUGAAAAAAUUAUUUUUUUCUUUUUCAAUUUCAGAUUAAAAACCCUAUCAGAAGGAGGGGGGGGAGGGGUGGAUGAGAUUGGAGUUCUAACUUACCGGAGAGAGAAUAGUUGGGAGGUCACCGGAUUUAGUCUUCCGACGGCAUUUGACUGCCGGAGUCUUUAAUUGCCGAGUAGAAAUGAGUAAAGAGUUGAUAAAACUUUACCAAUGAACAGGCCCGCAGGGAAGGGGUUAAUGAUCAAUGUCAUGCUUUGUACCUGCCCAGUUGGGAGGUUACUUAUAUGUUAAUCUUUAGUCCUACCACUUUACUUGUAUUCAAUUUAGUCCAACACUACAAGGAUUGGAUUCAGACUUGGUAGCUAUCAUUUUUUUUAAAACCCGACAUUACUUAAUGAGUUAACCUCUAAACUAAUCCGGAUUUUAAUUUUAAUAAACCCAGUAAAAACCUUUAACUUUUUUAAAAAUAAAUAAUAAUAAUAUUUUUACUUUUUAUAAAAUAAAAAUAAAUUAAUUAAUCAGGUUAAUUCUAGUUAACAACACUAUGGCCAUAAACUUGUUGCGAGACAACCCCAAACCUUUGAUAUGGGAGGGCAACCCAACAAAUAAACAUUGAUAGAAAUUAGCUUAUCAACUCCCGAAAUAGUAAUAUAAAAAUCCAUAUUUAAAAUCUGAUUUAGAAACUUGAUAAUCAUGGAUUGAAUUCAUGUUAUCAUAUGUGAAAAGCUUAAACUGAAAAACAAAAAAUGAAUUUGUUUUAAUAAUUUUUUCUCAAUAGUCGAAGUUUUUAUUGUUGACAACUGUCAAUCACAAAUAGAGAAAUAAUUCGUCAUAAUUGAGGGCACAAUAUGUGUAAUUGUUUUUUUUUCAAGUUUUUGUGGUUGUAUUUUUUUAAAAAUAAGUUUUUAAAAAAUAUGAUUAGAUAUUGUUAGUUGGAUUUAGAUACGUGUUUGAUAAAAAUUAUAGUUGAGAUUUAUGUAUAGCAAAAAACAUAUAUAAAAUGUUUGGUUGUGAUUGUUUUUCAAAAGUGUUUUUUCUUGGAAAUGCAUUAAAAUAAUUUAAAAAAUAUAUAUAUUUUUGAUAUUAGCGCAUCAAAAUAAUUUAAAAAUAUAAAAAAAUAAUAAUUUAAGGUAAAGAAAAAAAUAAAAAAAAUUUAAAUUUUGAAAAAAGUGCUUUUGAAACGCAAAAAUAAAUAGAAUUUCAUGAAAUUUAGUUAAAAAAACAUGUAAAAACUGCUUCACAAAAGCUGCGUUUCAAACUCAAUUUUUUAGUGGGCUCCACAGUAUAAAAUGUAACUUAGUGUAUAAUCAAAUACCUAACUGUGUUUUUUAUACCGCAAAUACAAAAGUUACGACUAAAGAAAUGCACCUUAACUACAAUGAUUUUUUUAAUAAACUAUAUAACUUUAAUAUACAUGAAAUUGAAAGAUAUUGGAGGUUGAUAAUUGAUGUGAUGUUAAUCCACUUAACCAGUGAUUCUAAACUUGCUUCGUGUUAAUUGAUUUGAACUAGAUUUAAAAACUAUAAUACAAGGGUUAACUUGAUAAUUAUAGAUUGAAUUCAUGUUUGCAUUUGCUUAAACUAUAUAUAAAAACAAAAAAUAAAAAUUGUAAAUAAUUUUUUACUCGGUAGUCAAAGUUUUAGUUGUUGACUUAACUGUCAAUCACAAAUGGAGACACAAUUUGUCAUAAUUGAGGGAACAAUAUUUAACUACAAAGUUUUUUUUUUUUUAAUAUAUCUUUAAUAUACAUGAAAAUGGAAGACAUUGAAGGUUGAUAAAUGAUGUUAACUCACGUACAUAUUUAAAAUCAUUAUUGUUAAAUCACUUACAUGUUUAAACAUAUGCCACAUAAAUUUUAAAUUUAAUAUUCAUAAGUAUAGUAAUUAAAAAUUAGAUAAAUAUAUACUUUGAGGAUUAGCUUGUAAGGUGAUUUUUUAAAAAUAUAUAUCUAAAAUGAAAACAACAAAAUAAAAAUAAUAUGUAUAAAAAAGAUAGAAUAUAGAUGAAAAACACUUGAAACAAAAAACCUAAAUAUUGUAAAUAUUAUCCUACAAGAAAACAAACGAGUAAUUUUUUUUAUUAUUAAUCUAUAAAAAAUAUCAAUAUGUCCUUAAUUUAAAUAUAAACUAAAUAACCUUAUUAUAAUUUCUUCUUGUCCCACAUCAUUAAUGAAUAUAAAAAUACUAUGGUGUAAUUUUGGGAUAUAGCUUAACUGAUCAGAUUCUAAAUUUGCUCCUCGAAGAUCAUCAGUUCGAGUUUCAAAAAAUUCAGGGUCACUGGAAACUUAUAUGAUCGUUAACUUCAGGGCCCGUGGAAUUAGUCGAGGUACGCACAAACUAGACCGGACACCUAUAUUAAUCUAAAAAAAAAAACAGUAUGUUGUACCUCUAAUAUCGUCUUGGCUUUACAACCUUAAGUUAACACGAAGAACUAUAGCGAGCAAACACAUUGUAAGAUUUAAAUUCAAAGAGAAAUAUUAUAUAUAAAACCAAUUAAUGACUCAAUUUGAUCACAACUCAAGUUUGUUUAUAUCUAUAGAAUCUGCAAUUUGCUUUCGAGAUCAGCUAUGACCUCAGAAGUUGGCAAAAACUGGCAAAUCAGGAUGGUCUGCAAACAGUCCUUCCACUUGUUUCUGUAUGCACAUAAAGUCAUCAAAACGUCUUUGUAAGCCUCCUUGUUGAUGCGCUUCUGCACCUUCCUUACAAAAUCGACAGCUUCUUCAUGGUCUCUAGUAACCUUCUCCGCGGCCAUUAAUGCUUCUUAAUUGAUGCGAUUCUGAGAAGGUUAGAAAGCCGAAUAAAAGAACAGAUUACCCUAAUUAUUGCUAUUAUAGUUGUUUUUGUAUUAACCGGAGCACAAUAUUAUAUAUAUAUAUAUAUAUAUAUAUAUAUAUAUAUAUAUAUUUGUGCCCUAUCAACUCUAAUUAAAUCGGACUCCUAUCCUUGUUAUUUAUUACCAGGGCAUUAAGCCUAUCCAAUAGAGUAAGCGUAAAAAAUAUAUAUAUCUGGCCCAUACCCGUUAAAAAACCAACCACCUCUCAAGUCUCGACCCAUGGCCCAAAGCAUUUGAAGUCCUUAUGUUCAAAUGCUUUUCAAACUAAGUCUCUUGAUCUGUUAUAAGUUAAAACUCUAAGAAAUAAGACUAUUAUAAAUAUAUAAAGAUUUUUAAAAUAUUUAAUUUUGUUUUGCUUUAUUUUUAUUUUUCAAAAACUUAUUAUAAAUCUUUAUAUAGAAAAUAAACUAGAAAGAGGACUUGAUUUUAUACUUGCUCCACGUAUAAUAUAUGUUUAUUUUCAGUAUACUACUCAUCUAUUAUUACAAACUUUGUUAAUUUGUAAUUGUUUUUUUUUUUAUUAAGUUGUAUAAGGGGAAUGAUAAUACUGUAAAUUGCCAAAAUCACUACUAAGUACAAACAAAAUAUUCUAUGCAUGUGUGACACAAUUAUAUCUGCAUUUGUAUCAAGGGCGACCCCACCUCCGCUAUUCAAUCAAAGCACUGAAAUUGGAGCAAGAAGAUCCACCUUCUUCAACAGCAUUCCUGGUCGUUUCUUCUAGCUUCUUUGUUCUGCUCCUCAUUUCCUCUGCUUCUCUACAGCUUCACUUUUAACAUGAUCUCCAUGCACUGUGAGCCAUUCCUUAACUCCAACACCAACUCCUCUAAUAAUUAGGCCUUUGCCUUCCAUUCUUCCCUCAAAUCCUUCAGGUAAACAAUCUUCCUUGUCUUCUUGACCCUUUUUGCUUCUUCUAACUGUUGAAUAUUAAACUCAAUCCAGAAGCUCCCAGAAGGUCAAGGAAGGCAACCAGCCACCAGCCACCAACUGACCAGCCACCAGCCGCAGUCGCCUGCCACCAGCUGCCACAGUCGCCAGCCGCCUUCAUACUUGAAGGUUGAAUUUUAUAGUUUUUGAAUUCGUGUAUAAAUAGAGUGCUCAGCUUAUGUUAUAUUGUGUGGAGAGAAUUGAGAGGAACAUUAGAAAAAGAAUAGAGAGAGAGGGCGUGUAAUUGUUAAGCUUUUGUUGUUAAUUGUAAGCUUCGGAUUUUGUAAUAAAACUUUGUGUUUUAUCCCCUCUGAGUGUUUCAAAGCCACCACCAGUGAUUUUUCCCACCAACAAUUGGUAUCAGAGCCCUGUUCGUCGGAAAACAGAAAAGUUUUGGGGUAUAUCCGAAUUUUCAAAGUUGUCAAAAACAAGUUUUGAUCAUUCCAAAGUGUAGAGCUCAUCAAGACGAGCUCACUGGUGCAAGAAUCAGCUUCAUCGGAGACGGAGGUAGCCCACACGCGCCGCCUGCAGAUUCUGCACAGACGCCCACGCGCCCAGAGGUAGAAGACGAGUGAGCCACACUCGCGCCAUAUUUGAGCCGAGCCGAGCCGUAUACACCGAGUCCUAGCCGAGCCGCAAGCCGAGUCCAGCCGAGCCACAAGCCGCGCCGUACUCCGCACCGAGCCGAGCCGCAUUCCAGCCUCAGCCGAGCCGAAAGAAUAUUCCCCGAAUAUUCCCGGUUCAACCUAGCGAACCGCCCGCCGUACAGAAUUGGUUUUUUGACCGGUUCACCCAUUUUCUGACCCGAUUUCAAUAAAGUCAGACCGGUUCCCUGCUAUUUGGACCAUUCUAGAUCGAUCUACAGUGUUCGUUUGGCCAAAUUCGGCUCCCAGAGAGGUGAUAUAGUCAUUCAAAGAGCAAAAUGACUAUAGAAGGUACACAUACACUCAUCCCGAAGCUGAUCAAAGACAACUAUGAUAGUUGGUGCAUCAGAUUGAAGGCAUUCCUUGGUUCACAAGAGUGUUUGGAUAUUGUACAAACUGGUUAUGAUGAACCAGAGUCCAAAGAAAGAGAAGAUGCUUUACAAGAGGCACAGAAGCAAGCCCUCAAAGUCAACAGAAAGAAGGACAACAAGGCAAAGACCAUCAUCUAUCAAGGUCUUGAUGAAGAUACAUUCGAGAUAAUAGCUUCCGCUGAAACAUCACAUGAUAUAUGGGAGGCUCUCCAACAGAAAUACAAAGGUGCUGACAGAAUCAAGAAGAUUCGUCUUCAAUCUUUGCGAGGAGAAUUUGAAUUAUUGCAAAUGAAGUCCUCAGAGUCUAUUUCUGAUUAUCACACAAGGAUUAUGGUGAUAGUCAACCAGAUGAGGAGAAAUGGAGAAGCCAUCAUCGAUUCUCGAAUUACUGAGAAAAUUUUGAGAUCCCUAGAUCCAAAAUUUGAUUUUGUUGUUGUCGCAAUUGAAGAGUCCAAGGAAGUGGACAAGUUGACAGUUGAUGAGCUUAUGAGUUCUUUGCAAGCUCAUGAGCAGAAGAUUGUAAAGCGAAAUGAAGAUAAGGCCAUUGAGCAUGCCUUACAAGCAAAGCUGUCUCUCAAGGACAGAUAUGAGCAAGGGGAGACUUCAACAAGUGGCUACACCACUCAAGCAGGAAGUCAACAAUCCAGAGGAGGAUUUCAGAAUUCCAAGGAAGAGGUUCUUGGAAUACAAGCUUUAGAGGAAGAGGUGGCAGAAACACCACCAGAGGAGGCCGAGGACAACAAGCAUUCACUCCUAGAGGAAGAGGAGGCGGUUACAAUAACCGUGACAAGAGGAAUAUCAAAUGUUAUAGUUGCAAUCAAUUUGGGCACUAUAGCACUGAAUGCAGAUGGAAAGCUCCGUUGGAGAUACAUGAGCAAGCCAACUAUGCAGAGAAGGAUGACAGAGAAGCAUCUGCAUUUCUUGUCCAACAAGAACUUGGCGAGAAACAAGAGAACAUAUGGUAUCUAGAUACUGGAGCCAGCAAUCACAUGUGCGGCUACCGAGAGUUAUUUGGUGAUCUAGAUGAGACCAAGCAAGGUCUAGUUACUUUUGGAGAUACCACAAAGGUUCCAUUCAAAGGUAAAGGCAGUAUCCCAAUCAAGUUGAAGAACGGCGAUUCCAGCUACAUCGCCAAUGUCUAUUAUGUCCCAGCCAUAAAGCAGAACCUGAUCAGCUUAGGUCAACUUUUGGAGAGAGGAUAUACUUUUUACUCAAAGAAUUGUCAUCUGACAAUUAGAGACAACAAUGGGAGAUUAAUGGCCUACGUGAAAAUGUCCAAGAAUAGGAUGUUUCCUUUGAACAUCCAGUAUGAUGCAACAAGGUGUUUGAGUGCCAUCACCAACAGUGAAGAAUGGCUUUGGCACCUGAGGCUUGGACAUCUGAAUUUCACAAGUUGAAGAUGCUAGCAAGCAAGAAGAUGGUUAAAGGUUUGCCUCACAUUGAUCAUCCAGAUGAAGUCUAUGAGAGUUGUGUCCUCAGCAAACAUCACAGAUCCAGUUUUGCCAAAGAAGUCAACUGGAGAGCAAAGAGGCCACUGGAGUUAGUACACACAGAUGUGUGUGGCCCAAUUACGCCUAUGUCGACUGGACAAAAUAGGUACUUCCUCACUUUUACUGAUGAUUUUAGUAGAAAGACGUGGAUAUACUUUCUGAAGAGGAAGUCAGAAGUAUUCAAUUGUUUUAAAGAUUUUAAAGCAAUUGUGGAGAAGCAAACUGGUUACACGAUCAGAACCGUAAGAUCUGAUCAAGGUGGAGAAUAUACAGCAAAUGACUUUGAAGCCUAUUGUACACAACAAGGCAUCAGACAUCAGACACACCAGCUUAUACACCACAGCUGAAUGGUGUAGCAGAAAGGAAGAAUCGCACGAUUCUUGACAUGGCAGAAGUCUGCUCAAAGCAAAGAAGUUGCCCAAGCAAUACUGGGCUGAAGCUGUAUCAUGUGCAGUGUAUCUUGAAUCGCUGCCCAACCAGAAGUUUGCAAGGUGUUACUCAGCUCCAGAAGAAGCAUGGAGUGGUCACAAACCAAGUGUUACUCAUCUACGAGUCUUUGGUUGUGUGGCAUAUGCAAAGAUCCCAGAUGCAAGAAGGAGAAAGCUCGAUGAUAAGAGCGAGAAAUGCAUCUUUGUCGGAUAUGGUGAAAGAAGGAUGGGAUACAGGCUGUAUAAUCCAAUCACGAAGAAGGUGAUUACGAGUAGAGAUGUUAUCUUUGAAGAAGAUAAAUCUUGGGCAUGAAAUGGUGAUCAAGAAGCAGUCAAAUGGAUCAAUCUUGAUUUGAUCCUUGAAGGUGAAGAAGUACCAACAAUACUUAUAAAAGAACCGAUUGUGCCAGCAACUAAACCACAAAGUCCAGUGUUUAUACCAGCAGUUGAACCACAAAGUCCGGUACACAGAUUCCCUGUAUUCAACAGGAGGAACACACCAGGAGCAUCAUCAUCAACACCAUCAUCAGCAUCCUCAUCAGAAGGACCAAGAAGGAUGAGGAAUCUUGAAGAGUUGUACGAUACCACUCAGGUCAUGGAAGAUACAACUCUGUUUUGUUUCCAUGCAGAUAAUGACCCAUUAAGCUUCAAUAAAGCUGUCACAGAAAAGAAAUGGAUAAAAGCAAUGGAUGAAGAAAUACAUGCCAUUGAGAAGAAUGAUACUUGGAAGCUGACUCAUCCACCAGAAAACAAGAAAGCAAUAGGUAUCAAAAGGGUCUACAAGACGAAAGCCAAAUUAGUGGAUAAAGGCUACAAGCAGAGAGAAGGCAUUGAAAGGAGAAGUGUUCAUGCUUGGCAUGACAUCCCUCGAUUGAGUUUAAAGGGGAGAUUUGUUGAAUAUUAAACUCAAUCCAGAAGCUCCCAGAAGGUCAAGGAAGGCAACCAGCCACCAGCCACCAACUGACCAGCCACCAGCCGCAGUCGCCAGCCACCAGCUGCCACAGCCGCCAGCCGCCUUCACACUUGAAGGUUGAAUUUUAUAGUUUUUGAAUUCGUGUAUAAAUAGAGUGCUCAGCUUAUGUUAUAUUGAGUGGAGAGAAUUGAGAGGAACACUAGAAAGAGAAUAGAGAGAGAUGGCGUGUAAUUGUUAAGCUUUUGUUGUUAAUUGUAAGCUUCGGAUUUUGUAAUAAAACUGUGUUUUAUCUCCUCUAAGUGUUUCAAAGCCACCACCAGUGGUUUCUCCCACCAACACUAACUACCCAGAUAAAUUGGUGCCCAGAAGCUUCGAGACCUGCUGCAAUCUCCUUAAGCUGAGAGGCAGUGAAGUUUGCCAUGCUUCCAAAGCAAAUAUAAACAACUGAAUUUGGUUUCUUUGAGUCGAGUCACUUCAACUGAAUUUUCCAUGUUGAGCAAUUGACGCUUCUUUUCCUCUUCCUGCUUCAUCUUCAUUGUCUCUAUUGCAUAGUGAAACCAGGCCCACGUUAAUUAACACCCUCUUUAAUUGACCCAACAAGACAAUGUCGUAACCAUUCAGGUUCCUCUUCUACAGAUUCAUGGAUCACUUUAUGCAAAGCAGAGGAAUGAUUUUCUGGAAAAAGAGUUUCUUGGGAACUUACAGUAGAUUUCGUUGGAACUCUUCUUUCAGGACGUAGCAUAGCUUCUUGAAUCUCUGUUUCUAAUCGGAACAGGGUAGCAACGAGAAGCUUGGAGUGGUCGCAGGAUGUCUUUCUUUUGUUCAUGAGGCUGCCUGUCGAAACGCUGAAGAUUUGCCAGCAACUUGUAGGAAUCAAAUCAAAGCCCCUUUUAAAAAUUUAAGGACCAAAAGGAAGAAAAUAAAAAAAAAUCUGCCUUGUGUUUUAAAAAACACCUCCCUUCUGUUUCCUCAACAUGUCAGUUCAUAUUUUUGGUUGCAAAUCUUGUAUCCCUGGCGAUCCCUCCUCCUUUUUAAUUCCUGUGCGCUAUUGUUUUAGAUCUGAGGUGUAAACUGACCCCAACAGAGGAUACACUCUAUACCCAAUCUGUGUAGUAUGAUGAAAAUACAUAAUAUUUCUUCUUACAUACCAAAAAAAUAUUUAUUUUCAGUACACUACUCACGUACUAUUUCUUUUGUUUUCUUCUUGGGCAUAAUCACCAAGCCUGUAUUCAUGUACAAUCUAGAACAAAAUGGAAGUACAUAGCAGGACUUUGGUUUCUUAGAUCAAUUUUCUUCAGAGUUUACAGCUAUGACAAUAAGCUACCAAAGACAAACAUGUUCUUGAAAAAUUUGGUAAACAAACUUAAAUUAUCUGUAACAUUUACAGACUCUGAUUACUGAUCGCUGAGACUUCAUUUUUUUUCCUGUUUGUUGAGCAAGUCCAAGCAAGCACUAGGAUAACUUACUAGUGAAAAAUAUUAAUCUACAAUUUACACUUACUGAUAACAUGCAUGUAGAUAUCUUAUUGGUUGGGUUUUACAAUUUACACUUUCUAAUUUAUAAAACCAGGAGUAAAUAACAUAUAUUAGAGGUUUAGGUAGCUUCCUGCCCAUGUGAAAACACAAGAACGACAGGUUAAAUUUGACCACAUGUUAUCCUAUUGAAAUAUGACAUGUGUUGUUGGACACAUGCCAAGCACAUUAUCACAUGAACAAUGAAUCAGCAGAAGGAAUUUUUAGUUAGAUAUUAGUCUUAAGAUUUAAAAUUUUUUAAAAAAAAUCAUCAUUUUUUAAAUACCAUAUCAGCCCCCUAACUUGUAAAAAUGACAAAUGCUACCACUGGCUAUCCCAUGCUAUUGCUGGCUAUCUGUAAGGCCUUAAUUUGCCUACGGCCAUACGGUCCACAUAAUAAUUUUCUUAAAUGAAAAAAACGUUAUCUUUAUUGUUAAUUAAGCUUGGAACCCUGUAGCAAACAUCUGAGAUAGAAACUGCAUCAAGGGUUUUUGUUUUUCCGUUCUUCAAAUUUUUGGCGAGAGAAAAGAGAUCAGGAUUGGUGAUUCUGGAGCAAGUAGCCAUGGACAUGAUCGCAGUGCAGGUGGCGCUCGAGAAACUGGCUUCCUUUGUAGCAGAAGAAACACGGUUCUUGGGAGGAGUUAGAGGGGCAAUCGUUGAACUACAAGAUGAUUUGUAUAGCAUGAAAUCUUUCCUUCAGGAUGCGGAAGAAAGGAGUGAGAGUGAUCAAGGACUGAGAGCCUGGGUCAAACAAGUGAGAGAUGUGGCUUAUGAUGCUGAGGACAUUCUUGAAGAGUUCAUGCUCCGGUUUGCUCCAUCUCACUGGAGUGGUUUUAUCCAUUAUCUUCGCAAUUCAUAUCGUUCCAUUCGUAAAUUAAGCGCACGGCACCGUCUGGCAGUACAGCUACAAAGCAUUAAAGCAAGGGUGAAAGCCAUUUCUGAGAGAAGAAAUGCAUUUUCUUUGAAUAGGAUAGACAUGCCAUCAACCUCCGGUGCUACCGUAGAGAAAUGGCAUGAUCCCCGGUUAGCUGCUCUUUACUUAGAUGAAGCUGAUGUCGUGGGAAUUGAGAACCCAAAACAUCUACUGGUUUCGUGGCUUGUGGAAGGCGAAGAAAAGCUGUCCAGUAUCUCUGUGGUUGGAAUGGGUGGGUUGGGGAAAACAACCCUCGUAAAGAAAGUCUAUGACAGCCACCCCAUCAGAAGAAGCUUUGAUACCCAUUCUUGGGUUACAGUUUCCAAAUCGUUUGCAUCCACGGAGCUUCUACGAGUUGCUCUGCAGGGGUUUCUGGUGACAGCAAACGAACCUGUUCCGGAUAAUUUGCAAUCAAUGACUGACUUCCAAUUAAUUGAUGCUCUAAGAAAUUAUCUAUGGAGAAGGAGGUAUGUCAUUGUUUUGGAUGAUGUAUGGAAUGUAAACGCUUGGGAAACAAUAAAGUAUGCAUUUCCUGAUUGUAACUGUGGUAGUAGAAUUAUCUUCACUACACGUUUAAGUAACUUGGCUGAAUCUAUAGAGAACACUAGUCAUGUUUAUGAACUCCAAGCUUUACCAGAAAAUGAAGCUUGGACCCUCUUUUGUAUGAAAGCCUUCAGAGGGGAACAUAAGGCUGUAUGCCCUCCAGAACUGGAAGACAUGUCUCGAAAUAUCUUAAAGAAGUGUGAGGGACUGCCACUUGCAAUUGUAGCAAUAGGAGGCCUACUGUCGAAGAAGAAAAACCGAGGUUUGGAAUGGAAGAAAGUCUAUGACUGCCUAGCUACAGAGUUGAAAAGUAACGACGACCUUGGGAGUGUACGUAGAAUACUUCAACUAAGUUAUGAUAAUCUUCCUUACUACCUCAAGCAGUGUUAUUUGUAUUUAAGUGUUUUUCCAGAGGAUUAUUUGAUAAAAAGAAGGAAGUUGAUCCGGCUAUGGAUAGUUGAAAGGUUUGUGGAAGAGAAGCAAGGCUUUACAAUGGAGGAAGUAGCAGAGGAAUACCUUAAUGAACUCGUGAAUAGGAGUUUGAUCCAAGUGGUGGAGAAGAAUUAUUUUAAUAGGGUCAAGACAUGUCGUGUUCAUGAUCUAAUGCGAGAAAUCAUUCAAAUGAAAUCCAGGGAAGAAUCUUUUGUUAUGAUAGCAAACGGAACAAGAAUCAGCAAGAAUGAGAAAGUUCGGCGUCUAUCAAUCCAUGAAAACUAUGAGGAAGUACAAUCAGAUAUGAGAUUUCCUUAUCUGUGGUCUUUGUUGUCAUUUUCUUCACAUCAUUCUUUUGAGCACGGUUUCCGCAAUUACAAGCAGUUGAGAGUGUUGAAUUUAGAUCGAGCUCCCCUUUCCACCUUCCUACCUGAAUUGGUUGAACUGAUUCAUUUGAGAUACUUAAGUUUGAGAUGGACCAAGAUAAGUGAGCUUCCAGAGUCCAUAAGGAAGCUCAAGUACUUGGAAAUACUGGAUUUGAAAAGGAGUCCUGUAUCUUCUUUGCCUGCUGGGAUCACACAAUUGACAUGUCUUUGCCAGCUCCGUAACUAUCGAUACAUUUUCCAGUCCUCAUCGUUCUUCCCAGACACUCAUGGAAUGAGAGUUCCGUCAGGAAUAGGAAGAUUGACGAGCCUGCAGAAAUUGGGAAGCGUCGAAGUGAAUGAAGAUUAUGAGUUAGUCAGGGAGUUGGGAAAGCUAACUCAGUUGAGAAGGCUGGGCAUUUUAAAGCUAAGAGAAGAGCAGGGAAUGGAUCUAUGUUAUACUUUGGAAAGGUUGAAACACCUUACUGCAUUGUAUCUUGUUUCACUAAACAACACUGAAGUCUUACAAUUUGACUCUCUUUCAUCUCCUCCAAAAUAUCUCCAACGACUAAAUCUCAAAUGUAGUCUUCCAGCUUUACCAGGAUGGAUAGCUUCACUCCAGUAUAUUUCCAAGCUAGUGCUUCAAUAUUCUAAUUUGAAAAGUGAUCCUCUCAAGGCCCUCAAGAAAUUGCCUAGUUUGGUGAUGCUUGAACUCCGUCAAGCUUAUGCAGGGGAAGAACUGUGUUGUGAUCCUAGUGGAUUUUCAAAGCUGAAGAGGCUAGGUCUCCAUGAACUGGAGAGAUUGCGGCGCAUCAGAAUAGCAAAGGGAUCAAUGCCUGGGUUAGAGAGGCUAGACAUCACAGCAUGCACGGUGCUAGAAACUGUGCCGGAUGGGAUUGAAAACCUGAAAAAUAUAGGAGACCUGGUUCUGUGGUAUAUGCCUUCAACAUUCAUCAAGACAAUAGAGAGGUACCGCGGUGAAGAUUUCUGGAGAGUUCAACAUAUCACAACAAUCACCUGUAUCUACGAGAGCCAGGGGAGACGGGUCUCUGAAACUCUUCUGUAAUUAGAGGGGUUAACUACGGAGAGGACUACAGUUUCCGGAAUAUCAUUAUCUCUGUCAAGUUCCUCAGGUCUGUACAGACGUUUCAUCAUGUAAUGCUGAGCCUCAGAAAACAGAAAACUGCUGCUCUUCCCUCCUCUUCUCUGCUCCUUUGUCUCUGUUUUGCUGUUGUUGAAUCUUCCAACCUGCUAUCUUGCCCAUGUUUGUCACCACUAAAUUCUUGACACCGUCAAUUUCUAGACAUCAAUACGAGUAUAUUUGGGAUUUGUCAAAUGUUUAUUUUAUAUUUUAUCAAAUUUUCACAACUUGAGUUCGUUUUGCAAGUUCACAUCAACUUUUUUUAUGCUGGUUUUGUUUUAUUCGUUUUGUAGCAAUGUAUUUAUAUUUUUUAAUUUAAAAAAAAAUGAUGAGAAAAAAUAAAAAUAACCAAAGAUUCAAAAAGAAAAAAAAUAGAGCUAGAGUUUUGAUCUUGAUCCAAGUGUGAUAAGAUUUUCCAAAAGAUAUGUAGAUGUGAAAGAGUGACGCAAUAUUGCUCUUGGACCAGCUGAUGGUAUACAAGUAGAUCUAUGAAUAAAUGACAUAAACAGUCCAGGGAAAGUUAACAGCUCCAAGCCCUCGUCUGUACAAUUUUACUAUUAAAAAGGAAAAAAAGGUUCCAAACCUAUGAAGUUGAAGAUCAUUGUUUAUUGGAUGAGUACUUUGAAAUCCUAAACUCAUUUUGUUAUUAGAACAAAAGGGUAAACCCACUUUUUGACUUUGUAACGUAGAAGCAGAGUAUCCAACUUUGAGCCAUAAAGAAAGUUUGAGACGAAAAAAAAUGAGAAGCCAAUAGUAUAAAAAACUUUAUAAUCGUAUCAGAUUUCAAACAUCGUUUUAGUGAUGGAAAAAGAAGCCUCUACCACUCACAAGCAACCACUCACCGCAAAGAGGCCUCUACUCUGCCACCAGAAGAUCUUUUUUGGAAAGGGAGUAGAGAAGAUAGUUGCAAGUAAAAAAAAAUCCCUGGCCUGACAUAUAGCAAGCCUGCCUCUUUCUUUCUUGGGCUGACAGUCAUCCAUUGGUCAAUCCACUUUAUAUAUAUCCUGGGCCUGAUCAUACUGGAGCAAAGUAUGUGAGCUUCGAAGGAAAAAAGAAAAAGAAAAAGAGAGAGGGAAGCACAAACAGGAGUUCAAUUUUGUUGAAUCCUGUUCUCUUAUCUAUCAUAUAUCUUCUUGCUAGCCUCUCAAACAUGAAUCCUAACCGAUAUGCUAAAGGUGAGAUGGAAAUAUUUGGAAACCAAAAUGUGCAGCCAAAUAAUCAUUAAAUGUAACAGCACAUUGAUCCCUUUCCAAUUUCAUACUGACUUCCUAUCAAGAAACAAAAAAAAUAAAAAAUAAAAACCAAACCACAAGGGUGACUUCUUGAUUGAGAGGUGAGCUAAGAACUUGUAAGACAACGGUUCAGGUCUCAAAUGGAAAUUGAGCAAGAAAAUCUCCUUUUCCCAUCCUUGCGUGCCCCAAUCAUAGCCCAUGGAUCCGGUUUCAUUUGAUAGAUGUACCAAGCUGACUACAUGCCAGUCUAACGUUUGUCGCACGUGUGUUAUGUCGCGACAAAUCAUCCUCUUGGAUUGGAAAAUGAAAAAGAUAAGGAAUUUUUAUCCUUUAUUAGUGGAAAGAGAGAAUGACAGUCAUUACCUAAUAUUUUAGUCAUUAGAAACCUUGAUUAAUCUCAGAGAUUAGGCACGUGAUCUGAUUGCGAAAAUAAAAGAUAUUAAUACCCUUAAUACGUUUUACAUGAGGUAAGUUAUUUUGCUUAAUUAUCUGAUAGAAACUAAGAUAUUGCUAUAUUUUAUAAUUAUUGAUCUGUUUAAAAUUUAAGAAAAGUUCUUAUAAGUAGGGAGAUCGCUAUCUUAUUAGUUAAAAAUCUAACCAUUCUAAUAUCAAUAAAAUAAAAAAUUAUCUUUUAUUUAAUAUCAAGAAUACAUCUUACGAAAUCCAAGAUUUUAAAAGAUAACAAAAUAAUGUUUUUUAGGAUUUUUGAAGUAUAAACUUAGCUCUCAUGUUUUCAAUAAAAUAGUUAUUAAAGUUUAAAAUACAUGCUAAUACAUAUUUUUUUAAAUUUAUUUGUUGAGCAAGUCCAAGCAAGCACUAGGAUAACUUACUGGUGAAAAAUAUAACCAGUAGCAACAACCUGCAGGAGCAAAUAAUAAGGAUUGAGCUGUAUCAAUUGUUCGACUGUUCAUUUCAAAACCUGUGCAAAGUGCAAUUGAAAACAGAAACAUUACAAGCAUGAAAUCUCAAAUGACAAGGGUUUUUGUAACGAGUUUAAGACAAGAAGGCUAAAAUUGUCUUCUGAAGCUCAAAACUAAUGAUUUUAUUUUUUCUUGUUUUUUCAAGCCAUUGAUAGUGUUUUGUUUUAUUUCCCCCCUUCAUUCUUGGCAUACUCUGUCUAUGUACGUCAUCUCUGCCCUAAAUUUCUCCAUUCUAACACAUCCAUGUUUUAAUCAAUGCAUUUUCUUCCUUUUUUAUAUAUAUAAAAACUGUCUUACAUUCAUGUAGAUAUCUUAUUGGUUGGGUUUUACAAUUUACACUUUCUAAUUAAUUUAUAAAACCAAGAGUAAAUCACAUAUAUCAGAUAUUUUUUUCUUGCCCCAAAUUCAUUUUGAUGGGAUAGAGAUUGAAGAAUUAGAUAAUUUUGGGUGCUUACUUGUUUUAUUGUUUUUCUCUCAAACUUGUUUUGAUUUAUAAUUUUGUAAAUGUUAUGGUUUGUUUUAGAUUUUGUAAAAUUGUAUUUGUUUGUAAAUUAUUGAAACUUAUGUCAAAUUACCGACUUAGAUGUUUUGUGAUGAAAUAAAUAAUGGUUUGUUUAACGGAUCCUUUUUAUGUUUUGUCAAUUUUAUUACCGAGUUGUAAUUUCCGUAAAUUAAUGUGUAUAAAUUUAUAUGUACAUAGAUAAUUGAUAAUGAAUAUUUAAGAGAAGUUUGAAAGUAAGUUGGAUAAUCUUGAGCUAAACCAAUAUUUUUUGCAAAUUUAUUUAUUUAAUCUAGUUAAUUAAUACAUGUUGUCAUCAUUAUUUGAUAUAGGUUCUACAACGUUGAGGCGGUGUCCCUUUAUAGUUGGAUCAAUUCACCCACAAGUACGAGGCAUAUUGGAAGGACGACCUUUCAAUGUAAAUUGUUUUGAUUUGAGUUAAUUUGUGUUUAACAAUUUAUGAACAACUAAUAUUUUUUUUAAAAUAUAUUUUUUAAUUAUCACGGAUGGCAUUACUGACAGAAUCAAUCUGUUAGUAUGUUCCAGAGAGUUGGAAAACAUUUAUUGCAUAUGCCACUACAUCAACGAUGGAAUUAUUCUGUCGGUAAUUUACAGAGGGUUGGAUUAAAUUUAUUUGGAAUGCCACUGCCAAUCACCAACAAAAUUAUUGUCUUUAUAUUCAUCAACGACAUAAUUCCAUCAGUAUAUUCCAGUAGGUAAAAACUUUUGUGGCGCAUAUUUUCUGUUUAUAAAACUAUCAAUUUUUUAUUUUUAUUUUUAUUUUUACUAAUAGAAUUGCUGAAAAAAAUAAAAUUACAGACGAACAGUAUACCAACGGAUAGAUUCGUCCGUGAAUUAGUUAGUAAAAUUUUCCCUGACGAAAUGGUAAUGUUAAUGCCAACAGAAAAUUCCGUCAGUGAAACUAUUAAAUGUAGUAGUGAUUUUUCAUCAAAUAGAUUCAAAAUUACAGGAUUAAGGCUAGUUAAACAAGUAAUUUAACAUAAAACAUUUUUUUUAUUUUGCAAGCCAUUGAUAUUGUCUUUUGUUUUCAUUUUAUUGGCCCACGCCGUGUCUAUUAUAAUCCAUGCAUGGUUGCCUGGGCAUUUCUUCAAUCACAGAAUAUAUCAGAGUAUAAAAUUAACGGAUCAUGUUAUCGGGUUUCUUAAUAAUGUUUAUCCUUUCUCAUUUCCUUAUUAUUUCUUAAUAAUCCAUUGAUAUAGAAAAUACGCAAAUAACUGUUGGCACUGUCCAUCUAAAGGUAUCAUGAGUAAAUUCAAAACCAGGAACGGAAUAUUAAUAUUUAUGGAUCAAUGAAGUGAAAGAUGUUAAAAAUAAUAUUAAAAAAAAAAAGAGAACAGAGAUAAAUUUAAAAACCAAUCACAUAAUUAAAAACCAAUCACAAACGAGUUUACAGGUCUACGAAAAAGAAAAAGCAAAGUAACUUAUACAACAAGUUGGAGGAACAACCUGUUCCACGAGCUUGAAAAAAAAACUAUAACAAAUAAUAGACUGAUAAAAAUAAUUAUAGGGCAAUAUCAAAUCAAUUGCUCAAACAGGGAAUCACAAUUUAUUUUUAAUUAUGUUAAAGAAUUUAUGUUGAAAAAUAAUUUUUAACAUUAAAAGUAAGAGGAGUUUAUUUUUUAUUUGACUUUAAAUAUGUUUAUUAACUAUGUUUUAAAUAAUUUUUUCAUCAAAUAGAAUCAAUAUUACAGGAUUAUGUUUAGUUAAUUGUGUAAUUUAAAAUAAAGAUAAAUUUAGCAUAAAACAUUUUUUUUUGCAAGCCAUUGAUAUUGUCUUUUGUUUUCAUUUUAUUGGCCCACACGGUGUCUAUUAUAAUCCAUGGUUGCCUGGGCAUGCAUUUCUUCAAUCAUAGAACAUAUCAGAGUAAAAAUAAAAUUAACGGAUCAUGUUAUCGGGUUUCUUAAUAAUGUUUACCCUUUCUCAUUUCCUUCUAAUGCUAAUUUGCAGCAGCAAGUCGAAUGCGUGUCCAAAAAUGUUUCUUAUUGACAGUACUCUUGUUCAGCUGUGACCAAUAAUUGAGAUCAAAUAUCAGCUGGCAUUCAAUCAACAGAGAACUAAUAUCCACCAAACCUUUAGGCUGAUAUAUUAGAAUUUCCAUGGCGUGAUCUGUGGUGAAAUUUAAGCAUCAAUGGACAAUAAAUAGGUCUCUUUUGCUAAGUCACUCUCUUUCCUGUAAUCAUGGCUGUAAGGUUUGGUUUCAGCCAUGAAAAUAUGAUUGAUAACAACUUAACAAGUGCUGCAUGUUGCUUGAAAUGUCAAAGAUAAAUUAUGAUUAUGUGCUUACAGAAAUUUUAUUUCUUCCACCAAAUUAAUUAGCAACAAUUGAUGAUGUUGAUAAUAUAUUGGGAAUCUUGACUUCACACGUCUCCAUAGAAAAAGAAGUGCAAGUGGACGAUGAAGCUGCCGGGAAAUCACUUCAUUCCAUGAAAAAAGUUAAGGAAUUUUUUUUUUUAUUCCACAAAAUCAAAUCAAUUGUUCAGAACACAUGACUUUCCAUGUCUAUAUAUAAAGAAAAAGCAAAGUAGUUGGAGGAAUUAACUGUCACUGAUAGUGAUUGUGGAGCCCUAGACUUGAUGCAUCUAUUGGAUCCUCAUAAAUAAGAAAAAAGACAACCACUCACAUUGACUUGGUGCAUCUAGUGGAACCUGAUAUGUCAAAAAAUAAAAUAAUGAAUUUUUUUAAUCACAAAUUCACAUAUGGCUGUUUUUAGUAUUGUUGUUUUUUUCCAAGUUUAAUCACAAAUCCACAUAUCAGUGGGUAUAUUUAGUAUUGUAGUUUAAUCACAAAUCCACGGAGUAAUUUUUUUUUUUCAUUUUUACUAUGUGUCAAAGUCAAUUGACUGUAUGAAGAGAGCCAAAGUGUACAGUAUUCCCAGUCCCAAAUACACAUAACACUGCUUAGUUCUCGCUACUGUGCUCAUUAAAAUUAACUAUUUAUUGAAAAGUUGAUUUAAAUUGAACAGAAUUUAUAUGUCAAACGCCUUAAAUUGAAACCAAAUAAAGUUGAUGACGAUAGCACUCAUUUUUUUUGGUUUUAUAUUAAAAAGUGUUAUCGAACUGGCUUAUAUGUGACAUUAAACUAAAUUUUUUUUUAGCAAUCUUAAAUAUGCAUAAUGAGAAAUCCAAGUGACUCGGUUAAUAGUUGGCCUGACUUGAAUAAAUACCUAACUGCAAUUUAUUGAUUAUUUAUUUUUUAUAUAUAAAAAAAACAAUGUUGUUUUGUCCUUGGUCUGCUUUCUCAUUAAUUAUUUAAGAUUUGUGAAAGAUAUAAUACAUUAUGAUCAUAAUAACUAAAACUAGGCAGCAGAAACAAGUUAAAAUCAUCCUCUUCUUGACCUAUGACAGGAUAAUAAAGAGUAUCUUCAAAAAAUCUAACAUCUCUUGAAACAUACAUUUUUUUAUAUGAGGGAUCACAAAAUCUAUGUCUCUUUUGUGUUUUUGAAUACCCCAAGAAAAUGCAUUUGACAGCUCUGGAAUCAAGCUUGUCCCAUUUUGAAGAGGGUAAGUGCACAAAACAUGAGCAUCCAAAUACCUUUAGAUGUGCCAAUUUAGGACUUGUAACUACAAAACUUCAAGAGGAGAUUUAAAAUCCAGCAUGCGGUUGGGUAGACGAUUUAUAAGAUAGAUAGUUGUGAGAACACCAUAUGACCAAAACCCCUUUGGAACGUGCAUUUGUAACAUUAUAGCACGAGUUUUUUUCAAGCAGAUCAUGAUUUUUCCGUUCAAAGACUCCAUUUUGUUGUGGUGUACCCACACAACUAGUCUGAUGCAAUAUGCCAUUAGAAUGAAAAUAAUGUGUCAUGUCUUUGGACAUGUAUUCUGAGCCAUUAUCUGAUCGUAAUGUUUUAAGAUGAUUAGAGAAUUGAUUUGUAAUUAAAGUAUGAAAAUUCUGAAAGCAGGAAAAAACAUCGCUCUUAGCCUUUAACAAAUACACCCAUGUGACUCUAAAAAAAUCAUCAAUAAGGGUUACAAAAUAUUAAUAACCAUCAAGAGACGUAUCGAAAGGUCCCCAUACAUCUGAGUGUAUAAGUUCAAACGCAUGAGUUACAUGUGUAGUAGAAUUAUUAAACGAAAGUUUAAAUGAUUUGAAAAAAUGAUGGAUCUCACAUUCAAGAUGUUUCGAAUGGAAACUGAAUUUAUUUUGCUAAGUAUAUAAUUUGACGGAUGUCCUAAAUGACGAUGCCAUAGGAGUGGCUCAUAUGAUGUUUUGAAACUAGUCUGAAAGCUUUUGAGAAUGCGAUUAUGCUGAAAAAAAUAGUAGAGACCAUCUUCUUGGUUAAUCGGUCCUGAAAUAUAACCUUGUGAUGAGUGAAAAGAAUGGGGGCUUGGAUGUUGCUAGCAUUAUUGACUUUGGUUGGCGAAUGUAGUGGUCGUUGUUAUGGGUGUUUCGGAGGAAGAGAGAAUUGGUCUCUUGGAGAUCAAAGCUUUGAUCGACCCAAAUCACCUUUCCUUGGGACAUUGGGUGGAAAGUAGUAAUUGUUGUGAGCGGUCUGGAUCGAGUGUGAUAACACUAAAAGGCGAGGGAUCCAACUCUCUCUUAGUGGUGCAUGGGAUUUCCGCUUGGUCGAUUGGGUUCUCAACGCAUCUUUGAUUCUGCCUUUUAAAGAAUUGCAGAGUCUUGAUUUGGGCUUCAAUACAUUAGUUAGUUGCUUUGAGAAUCAAGGUUGGUUCAAUGUUUCUGUUCUUGUAAUCAUAAAAUAAAUUUAUAUUAUUUUACGCUGAUGAAGUGGCUGGUGUUAAUUUAAUGUCAAUUAUUUCACGGGUUCAUUUCAUAACUGUCAUAAUUCCAUUCUCCUAGAUAACUUUAAUUUCUCAUAGACCAAAAACACUCAAUUCCAUUACAGUUAGAGCUACAACGGUAGUCACCCGACAGCAUGUACAGAAGUCCUCGCAGUGGGGCUCACACAUUAACUAGCCACAGGUGGACAGAGCGACCACCAAGCACGGAGAGACCUUUCGUUAAUGCUUGCCAGCUACAAUUUCGGCUUUAAUGCAAACAGUUAGCCUAUCAAUUUCUUCAAACUUGAUUAAUUGAAUUGUAUUUUCGAGGAGUGCGGAGGCCAGUUAUAUCGCAUCUGGGUUUCUGUAGCUCGACUCCACAGAUCGUCGUUACUUAAGAAUUAAGUAUCUCUUUAUUCUUUUCUCUUAUGAAUGAAUCAAUUUUAUAUUGAUCAAAUAAUCAAGAACAGCUAAAGUAGGAGCCAGUGAUCAGUCCUAACUUUACUGUUUCCUUGAUUGUAAAUAAAUGCAACAUCUUGUGCAAUGAUCACCGUACGAGAGAGGCAGCUACCUUGAUUAUUUUAGAAGAUACUAACUUUACCGUAAUAGAAUCUUAAAGUUACUCCAAUUAGAAUUGUUAAGAUUAUCUUAAUGAAGUUUGAAUUUUUUAGAAUGGAAAGAAAUCUAAAUACUUAAUAUAUAAAUCAGCUACUAUCUAAAUAUUAAAUAACCCUUUAUUUUUAUGUUCCUGAAUUUUUAAACAUCUUGAGAUGAUAACUUAUACUACCAAACACUUCUACAAACCGCUAAAUAAUAUUUUAUAAAAAACAAUUGGUUUAUUUUGAAUAUGUUUUUACUAAAAAAUUUGUUCAUUUUUACUAUGUGUCAAAGUCAUCCCCAAUAAGGCACCCAUAAUUCACAGUCGAGCAAAUAAAUCCAAUUGACUGUAUGAAGAGACAGUCCCAAAUGCACAUAACUAUUGGCAAAUAGUGACUAUGGGAGACCACCAGUAUGCAUAAGGAAAUCACCAUGAAAUUACUGCUUGGUGGUGUUUAAAGUCAAAAUGGCACACCGCAAGUCAAGCAUCCGAAUACACGACAUUUUAUGCUUUAGCUCAAUUUCUCCAGUAACAGUAAUGGAGAAAGCGGGAUAUCCUACUUUUGACUACUUUAUACACCCAACGUUUAACACAAAAUAGGACUUAGGACAAUAAUUGCUGAGAAGGUGGCAUGAAAAUAACUUAAAUUGACUUCCAGAUAAAACAACGUGUUUAGCAGUGUGGUAGUAGUUGUUUUUUAAAUAAUUUUUUGUAUCGAAAUGCAUGCCAAUGAUAUUUUUUUAUUUUUUAAAAAUUAUUUUUAACAUCAGCACAUCAAAAUAAUCCAAAAAUACAAAUUACAUUAAAUUUUAGCAAAAAAAAAAAUUUCAAAUUUAGUGGGAACGCGGUUUGCACCGCAUUCCCAAAUGCUUCCAAAAUCAUGAAACCUGCACAAGAUACGCAGAUAAAAUCAUGGAAAUGGCCAAAGUGUAGUAUAAAUAGGACCUCUAUGGUUGCCCAAAUUCACAUAACAAACAACAAUAUUCUACGUAGUAGUUCAAAGAAUUAUCUAAGAUGAUGGUGAAAAAAAUGGGGGCUUGGAUGUUGCUAGCAUUAUUGACUUUGGUUGGCGACUGGUAUGGUCGUUGUUAUGGGUGCUUAGAGGAAGAGAGAAUUGGUCUCUUAGAGAUCAAAGCUUUGACCAAUCCAAACAGCAUUUACAUGAGAGAUUGGGUGGAGUACAGUAGUAAUUGUUGUGAGUGGUAUGGGAUCGAGUGUGAUAAAACUCAAAGGCGAGUGAUCCGACUCUCUCUUCGGGUUGCAAGGGAUCAGAGUUUGAGGGAUUGGGUUCUCAACGCGUCGUUGUUUCUGCCUUUUAAAGAACUGCAAAGUCUUGAUUUGUCCGGUAAUGGACUGGUUGGUUGCUCUGAGAAUCAAGGUCGGUUCAAUGCUUCUGUUCUUAUAAUCAUAAAGUAAAUUCAUAUCAUUGUGUGAAUCUUAUACUGAAAUUACGCUGAUGAAGUGGCUGGUGUUUAAUGUCAAUUAUCUUGCUUUGAUGCUUCUCUUCCAGGCUUCGAAGUCUUAUCAUCAAAACUGGAGGUACUUGACCUAAGUCAGAACCGAUUUAAUAAUGAUAAAAGCAUUUUAUCAUGUUUGACUGGGCUUUCCUCUCUCAAGUCUUUAGAUUUAUCAGACAAUGGGUUGAAAGGAUCAGGUAGCUUCUAUGUUAACUGUUUAAUUAUUUAGCUUUGAAACCUUUUCUUUUCUCCUUCACAUAUCAUGUUUUUCUACGCGUUUAUUUCCUUCCAACAUGCUUUUGAGAAACAUCAUGAAGGUUUCAAGGACUUGUCAUCAAGGUUGAAAAAACUGGAGAACCUUGACCUAAGUUGGAAUCAAUACAACGAUACCAUUUUUUCAUCUAUAACUGGAUUUUCAUCUCUCAAGUCUUUAGAUCUAUCAUACAAUCAGCUGACAGGAUCUACUGGUAUCAAUAGUAAGUUACAUUCUCUUAUACGGUUUCUUUAUCAAGAAAGUUGAGGGCUUUAUUUCUAUUUAAUAAUCAAUAAUAUCAUUUCAUCAUGUUUGACUGCACUUUCAUCUCUGAAGAUUUAUUAUCUAUGGAGCUUUCAACUUAUCCUUAAAUUGUUUUUCUAAUAAGACAGGAAGAGAUUAAAGUGAGGUGGAUCAAAAUUAGGAUGAUUAAAAAUUACCAGUGACGAUGUGUAAAAUAUAUGGAUACUUCCAAACUAUCCUUCUUGACAUAAACGCAAUCUCAAGGCAUAAAACCACCUAACUUCUUUCUUAAUCUAUGCAGUGUACACAACCUAUCUAUGCAAGGUAUAUAUAUAAUUUUUUUUUAUGUAUAAUUUGAGAAUUAUAUAUCUUGUAGGUUUUCAACUCCAACCGAUGAGGCUGGGAAAGUUAGAGAACCUUAACCUGAGUGACAAUCAAUUGAACAGUAGCAUCUUAUCAAUUCUGAGUGGGCUUUCAUCCCUCAAGUCUUUGGAUCUAUCAAAUAACAUGGUGACAGGAUCAGGUAUAGUAGACAGUUUCUACCUAACUGCUUCACAUGACAUUCUCUUAAUUAUAUUGUUUCUUUCUCAAGAAAAAUGAGGACUUUAUAUCUAUGUAGUGAUCAAUUUUUCAUGACUCGAAUCCCGGGCCACGAUGGACAAUAUAAGAGCGGCAAUAAUUAAAACAAAAACAAUAAUCCAUAAUACUCAUUGUAUUAUUUAAAUCUAAAUUUAAGUAAAACAAGGUAAUAGUGGAACGUCUAAAAUAUUGAAUUAAAACUAAAAAGAAAGCCUCAUGAAAUAAGUAAGGUAUAUCGACCAAAACUGAAAAAGUAGAAAUACUCAACAAAGUUCACCUGCUAAUAGAAACUAAUAAUAUGAAAUAAUAUUAAAAAUAAGAGGUAAGUUCAACCAACUCAGUGAGUGAAUAAUAUUUAAUAUAUAUUUUAGAUAUUAAUAGUUUGCAAGUUAAUUUAUAUCUUGAUGUGUGUGUGUGUAUCAAAUAGAAUUUAGUUUAAUAAAAUGGAAGUGCAAAUUAAAAAAUAAAUGAGUACUCAGAAAAUAAAAUGACAUAUAUAAAUAUUCAAGAAAUUAACUAGUUGUACUCAUCAUAUAAUCAAUAUACAUAUUUAUUUAUAUUACAUGCAUAUUAAAUAUUAUCUCACUCACUAGGAAAAUAUAGAACUAAAAUGAAUAUUUUAUGAAAGACCCGAAAAUUCUAUUGAGGAUCAUUAAGUGAACUUACAACAAAUAUAUGAAAUAUACUCAAAACAACCCAAAAAAACAUAAAUAAAAGAUUUCAAUGCAUAAAAGAAAAUCGGGUUUAGUCUCCUAAGUUUAGAGACUUAAACAAUAAUUUUUCAAAAUAAAGACCAAAAUAUAAUUUUACCAAAAUGUAAGUUAAACUUUCAGGAGGUGAAUUUGUUAGUGGGGAGACGGUCCUUCCUAGUUUGUGAUGAUUGUUUGUCCUGUAUGUCUAGCUAUUGGAUGCUUUGUAGUGUACUGCCUUUUUAUUUAUCUGAUUUUUGGUUAGCUAGAUUUAGUUAUAGUUAAGUUAUUUUUUCUAUGCUUUUUGUUCUUUUGUUUAUUUUGCUCUUUGAACUAAAAGCAUCUCGUGGAAACCGUUUAAUUAUUUAGCUUUGAAACCUUUUAUUUUCUCCUUCUCAUAUGAUUUAGCUUCUAUGCGUUUAUUUCCUUCCAAUAUGCUUUUGAGAAACAUCAUGCAGGUUUCAAAGUCUUGUCAUCAAGGUUGAAAAAUCUGGAGAACCUUUAUCUAAGUCGAAAUCAGUGCAACGAUGACAUUUUUUCAUCUUUAAGUGGAUUUUCAUCUCUCAAGUAUUUAGAUCUGUCAUUCAAUCAGUUGACAGGAUCUACUGGUAUCAAUAGUAAGUUGCAUUCUCUUAAGAAAAUUGAGGACUUUAUAUCUAUUUAGUAAUCAGUGAUAGCAUUCCAUCCUGUUUGAAAUUAUUGUAUCGUGUAAGCUUUACAUUCUCUCAAGUCUUUAGAUCUAUCAUGUAAGCUUUCAUCUCUAAAGAUUAAAAAUUACUUUUUGACAAUUAUUGUAAGAUAUAUAACCCAAGUUUCCAACCUAUUAUAUUAGGAUGAUUAUAUUACAAUGCACAGAAUGGAUACUUCCAAUCUAUCCUUCUUGACAAAAACGAAAUCUUAAGGCAUAAAACCGCCUAGCUUCUUUCUUAAUCUAUGCAGUGUACACAACCUAUCUUAAGGUACAUUUUUUUUUUUUUAUGUAUAAUUUGAGAAUUAUAUAUCUUGUAGGUUUUCAACUCCAACCGAUGAGGCUGGGAAAGUUGGAGAACCUUGACCUGAGUGACAAUCAAUUGAACAGUAGCAUCUUAUCAAUUCUGAGUGGGCUUUCAUCCCUCAAGUCUUUGGAUCUAUCAAAUAACAUGGUGACGGGAUCAGGUAUAGUAGACAGUUUCUACCUAACUGCUUCACAUGACAUUCUCUUAAUUAUAUUGUUUCUUUCUCAAGAAAAAUGAGGACUUUAUAUCUACGUAAUGAUCAAUUUUUUCACGACUCGAAUCUCGGGCCCAUGACAGGUAACGCUAGAGUGGUGUUAAAAGGACAUCUUACCUAUACUAUCCCUCCUAACAAAUAUAUCAAAAGAACAAGUUAUUUAAAAAUAUGUGGUAUUUUAAAAUCUUGAAAAAUAUUAUGUUAUUCAAAAUUAUUGAAACUAAAUGAUAGUUCAAAACUUCUUAUCAGUAAUGUCAUAACUCAUUCCGGGAUUAUGCCCCAAAUUCAUUUUUUUUGAAAAAAUAUAAUAAUACAAAUAAAAAAUAAAAUAAAAGUUGGUGGUGUGGAGAAAGAUUUUUUUUAAAAAAUACAUAAAAAUCCCUUCAUUUGAGGAUAGUCAUCCCUAAAGACCCUUGAUACUUAUUUAAGUCAAGGUUAAUCAUAGUUUAGUUUCUUAAAAUCUUAAUUAAUAAUAUUGAAUGGAAUGGCUACUCUGUACCACCACUAUUUUCAUCAUACCUUUUCUUCUUUCUUUUUUACAGGGACUUUCUUCAAUUCGAGCACUCUUGAAGAAUUGAAUCUAGAUGGUACUUCUUUCCCAUUAAACUUUCUCCAGAACAUCGGAGCAUUGCCUACUCUUAAAGUAUUGUCUCUUAGUUACUGUGACCUCAAUGGCACCCUGCCCGCUCAAGGUAAAUUAACAACUCUCCAUCCGCUCAAGAUUCUUUCAACACUUCUCUCAAGGAUACUUAUUUAAGUCAAGGUUAAUCAUAGUUUAGUUUCUUAAAAUCUUAAUUAAUAAUAUUGAAUGGAAUGGUUACUCUGUACCAUCACUAUUUUCAUCAUACCUUUUCUUGUUUCUUUUUCACAGGGAUUUUCUUCAAUUCGAGCACCCUUGAAGAAUUGUAUCUAGAUUAUACUUCUCUCCCAUUAAACUUUCUCCAGAACAUCGGUGCAUUGCCAUCUCUUAAGGUCUUGUCUGUUGGUGAAUGUAACAUCAAUGGCACCUUGCCCGCUCAAGGUAAAUUAACAACUCUCAAUCUGCUCAAGAUUCUUUCAACACUAUUUUGACUAUUUCAAGAUAAAUUGUACAGGUUGGUGUGAUUUGAAAAAUCUGGAGCAGUUAGAUCUCUAUGGAAAUAAUUUAGGAGGUUCACUCCCAGAUUGUUUGGGAAACUUGUCAUCUCUACAACUAUUAGAUGUUUAUGAAAAUCAGUUUACUGGAAAUAUUGUCUCUGGUCCUCUUACCAACCUCAUAUCCAUUGAAUUUCUCUCACUAUCAAAUAACCUUUUCGAAGUUCCCAUUUCAAUGAAGCCUUUUAUGAACCACUCAAGCCUCAAGUUCUUUUCCAGUGAGAACAACAUAAUAGUAACAGAACCCAUGUCCUUUCAUGAUUUGAUUCCAAAGUUCCAACUAGUAUUUUUCCACUUGUCAAAUAGUCCAACAUCGAAAGCAGUCAAUGUAGAGUUUCCCAACUUCCUCUAUUACCAAUACAACUUAAGAUUCCUUGAUCUCUCCCACAACAACAUCACUGGAAUGUUUCCAUCAUGGUUGCUUAAAAACAAUACACGAUUGGAGCAACUAUUUCUUAGUGAGAACUUCUUUGUUGGUACUCUGCAAUUGCAAGAUCACCCAAAUCAAAAUAUGACAUAAUUAGAUAUAUCCAACAACAACAUGCACGGUCAAAUUCCAAAAAAUAUUUGUUUGAUCUUUUCAAAUCUAGACAGCUUAAGGAUGGCUAAGAAUGAAUUUACAGGUUGUAUUCCUUCUUGUUUAGGAAAUAUGAGCUCUUUGGGAAUUUUAGAUUUAUCCAACAAUCAAUUGUCCACAGUAAAACUAAAACAACUAACAACAAUAAGGUUUUUGAAGCUGUCAAACAAUAAUUUGGGUGGGCAAUUACCUACCUCAGUGGUCAAUUCUUCUAGCCUGGUUUUUCUCUACCUAAGCAGUAACAACUUUUGGGGUCAGAUAUCGGAUUUUGCAUUAAAUGGGUGGAAGAAAAUGUGGACUGUAUUGGAUUUGAGUAACAAUCAAUUUUCAGGCAUGCUUCCAAGGUGGAUCGUCAAUUCUACACAACUGAGCGCAAUUGAUUUGUCCAAAAACCAUUUUAAGGGUCCAAUUCCAAGAGACUUUUGUAAACUUCGAGGGCUUGAAUAUUUGGACCUUUCUGAGAACAACUUGUUUGGUUCUAUACCAUCUUGCUUCAAUCCACCACAAAUAACCCAUGUGCAUCUAUCUAGAAAUAGAUUGAGCGGCCCAUUAACAUGUGGAUUUUAUAAUAGCUCUUCCCUGGUUACGAUGGAUCUUCAUGAUAACAACUUCAUCAGCUCCAUUCCAAGUUGGAUUGGAAAUCUUUCAUCAUUGAGUGUUCUUCUUCUAAGGGCUAAUCACUUUGAUGGUGACUUCCCUGUUCAUUUAUGCUUGUUAGAAAAAUUAAGCAUUUUGGAUGUUUCACAAAACCAACUCUCUGGUCCAUUACCCUCCUGUUUGGGCAAUCUUACUUUCAAGGAAAAUUCCGAUAAAGCAUUCGUGAAUAUUGGAAGUGUUUUUGGAUCAGCGUACAUAGGAAAAGCUUAUUAUGACACAAGGAAUCCAAAACUAGUGGAUAAUUUCCAAAUCAUGGGAAACCCUUUUCGGUCCAACAUUGCAGAAGAAGUGAUAGAAUUUACUACUAAAAAUAUGUAUUAUGGUUACCAGGGGAAAAUUCUCAGCUUCAUGUCUGGUAUUGAUCUCUCCUGUAACAACUUCUUAGGAGCCAUCCCACCAGAAUUGGGAAACUUGAGUGAGAUACAUACAUUAAACUUAUCACACAACAAUCUCACUGGAUCUAUCCCUGCAACAUUCUCAAACCUAAAGCAGAUUGAGAGUUUGGAUCUCUCUUACAACAAGUUGAAUGGUGUCAUCCCUCAGCAAUUUACUGAAAUUACCACACUAGAAGUUUUUAGUGUGGCGCACAAUAACUUGUCAGGUAAGACACCCGAGAGAAAAAAUCAGUUUGGGACCUUUGAUGAAAGCUGUUAUGAAGGAAAUCCUUUCUUGUGUGGACCUCCACUGCGAAACAAUUGUAGCAAGGAACCAGUGUCGUCGCAACCAGUGCCUAAUGAUGAACAAGAAGAUGAUGGUUUCAUAGACAUGGAGUUUUUCUACAUCAGUUUUGGUGCAUGUUACACAAUUGUGGUGAUGACGAUCGCAAUAGUUCUCUACAUCAAUCCAUAUUGGCGACGCAGGUGGUUUUACUUCAUCGAAGACUGCAUGGAUACUUGCUACUAUUUUGUGGUGGCUAGUUUUUGCAAGUUCUCCAACUUCAGAAGGUGAAUUUGUUACUGGGGAGACGAUAUUUCCUAGUUUGUUAUGAUUGUUUGUCCUGUAUAUUUAGCUAUUGGAUGCUUUGUAGUAUAUUACUGUCUCUAAGCUCAGCCUUUCUAUUUGAUUAGUUUUUUGGGCUAAAUAUAUAAGUUGAACUUCUCAUUCCUGAACCAUUAUUUUUUUUUGUUUUUUUAAUCGUUUUGACAUAUUGAUAAUAAAAAUGAGUUUUAUAAAAUAAAAAAAUUAUUUCAAUAUAUUUUCAAGUGAAAAACAUUUUAAAAAUCAAACGUUAUUACAGUAACUAAGAGACUCUUAGUUGGUUUCCAUUCACGCACACUGAUAGUGCAUAAAAUCAUGGCAUUUGGUCCUCUUACAACUAGUUACCUAAUUACUCGUAAAUGAUCAAAUUAGUUUCUUAAGGAAUUAAUUACCAUGAAAUUACUGCUCCUUGGUGUUUAAUAAUCAAAAUGACAUACUACAAGUCAAGCAUAUGCUGGUGUUUGGAAAAAUAUUUAUUUUCAGUAUACUACUGUAGAUAUAAUUUUGAGCACUUGAAGUUAAACAAGCACACGUGUACAAAUAUAUAAUUUUAUUAAAUAUAUUAUCGAGUAUAAUCUCUAUCUAAAGUAUUCUUUCAAAAGAAAAAGACAAUCCUUUGAUUCUUCCUUUGAAUUUGAUCUAUGGUGACUUCAUUUAUUUGAGAAAUCAAGCCAAGAUUUGUGCUUUACAAGAACACGAAUUUGGGUGUGUGUCGCGAAGCGAGAUAUGGUGAUUUGAUAUUUUGAAAAGUACAUUUGAUUUGUAUUCAAAGUGUUAUUGAAGAACUCUAAUAGAGCGUUUAGACUUGAUCCAAUAGAGCUUUGUUCUUUGUAGACUUCAAGCGUAGAUGAAGGAGGCUUGAGAACUUUUGAGAAAACUUCCUUGCUGAGAGAGAGAGCUUCCUUUCUUGAAGAGCUUAUCUCGAAGGAAAUUUGUAUCUCUCAGAAUCCCUCUUUCUCUAGGUUGAGGCCCUUUAUUUAUAGAGAUCUGUAGGGGCUCUCAGGUCCUUUUCCAAUGCCACGUGACAUAAUUUUAUUGGUUGAUACUUAUUGAUGAGAUCUCGUAUUUAUGAUAAGAUAUCUUGAUGGGAUCUUGCAUUUAUGACAAAAUAUCUUGAAUAUCUCACCCCAAGUAUCAACCUUUCAUUGGCCAAGAAAUAUAUGAAAGCUUACUUAUUUUCCAUGUCAUAUAUUUCAAUUUAUUUUAUUCUUUCUUUUUUUAAAAAAAUAAAAUAACACGUGGUGAAAUUUGAUUGAUAGAAAAUUUGUGUUUCUAUAACUACUCAUCUACUAUUUCCUUAGUUCUCUUCUUGGGCAUAAUCAAGGGCUCAUGAAGGAAACUGAGUCGUUACAAUUUUCAUCAGCUCCAAUUUCGAUUGAAUCAGAACCUAACAGACAUAGAAAUUAAGAACACAUCACAAGGAAUGUAUCAAAUGAAACUACUAAAAGAAUCGUAAAUCACCAAGCCUAUAUCAAUCUACAACGUAGAACAAGAUGGAAUGAUAUUGCAGGAAUUAACUAUGUUUAAAUUAUAUUGCAGGAUUAUGCUUAGGGAAUCAGUAGUUCCUUGCUUGGGAUAAUUGUUGGUCUUGUAUGUCUAGCUAUUGCUAUACUUUUUGUUCAAUCAGUUAUUAUUCCUAAAUAGAACAGACAUUAGUGGAGAUUAAUCCCUGGCCUAAUAUAUCAAGCCUAGCUCUUUCUUUUGAAAUGAACAGGCCAACGAUUGAUACAGGUCAAUCUAAGACAGCUGGCAUAUGAUGAUACUGUUGAAUAUGUCAACUACAAUUCAAAAUUGAGGAUGAAAAACCAAUCCAAUUUUUGUCAACCAAUCUUUCAUGUACAAUGAAACAGUAGAAGGAAUUGUUAAUUAAGCUUGGAACCCUGUAGCAAACAUCUGAGAUAGAAACUGCAUCAAGGGUUUUUGUUCUUCCUUUCUUCAAAUUUUUGGCGAAUUCAAUCUAUAAAAUGUUAUCCCUUUAUUUUUUAAUUCUUAAAGGGAUAUUGCGAUUGAGAAUACACAAAGGAGGCGCUACGCCUUAAAAACAAAGCCCAGAUGACAGGCCCAAUAAAGUCGGUCCAUGUGGGAGUAAAACAUAGGCCCUAUCCAGUCAGCCCAGCCUAGAUUUAAACAUCCGUCCUAUCCAGUCUGCUGCUAAACUAUAAGAAGGGGAGCUCCAUGUCUGGGCAGGAACACGCGGGAUCCAUUCUAUAGUAUCAGGAUUGGUGAUUCUGGAGCAAGAAGCCAUGGCCAUGAUCGCAGUGCUGGUGGUGCUCGAGAAACUGGCUUCCUUUGUAGCAGAAGAAACACGGUUCUUGGAAGGAUUUAGAGGGGGAAUCGUUGAACUACAAGAUGAUUUGUAUAGCAUGAAAUCUUUCCUUCAGGAUGUGGAAGAAGGGAGUGAGAGUGAUCAAGGACUGAGAGCCUGGGUCAAACAAGUGAGAGAUGUGGCUUAUGAUGCUGAGGACAUUCUUGAAGAGUUCAUGCUCCGGUUUGCUCCAUCUCACGGGAGUGGUUUUAUCCAUUAUCUUCGCAAUUCAUAUCGUUCCAUCCGUAAAUUAAGUGCACGGCACCGGCUGGCAGUCCAGUUACAAAGCAUUAAAGCAGGGGUGAAAGCCAUUUCAGAGAGAAGAAAUGCAUUUUCUUUGAAUAGGAUAGACAUGCCAUCAACCUCCGUGCUACCGUAGAGAAAUGGCAUGUCCCCGUUUAGCUGCUCUUUACUUAGAUGAAGCUGAUGUCGUGGGAAUUGAGAACCCAAAACAUCUACUGGUUUCGUGGCUUGUAGAAGGAGAAGAAAAGCUCUCCAGUAUCUCUGUGGUUGGAAUGGGUGGGUUGGGAAAAACAACCCUCGUAAAGAAAGUCUAUGACAGCCACCCCAUCAGAAGAAGCUUUGAUGCCCAUUCUUGGGUUACAGUUUCCAAAUCAUUUGCAUCCACGGAGCUUCUACGAGUUGCUCUGCAGGGGUUUCUGGUGACAGCAAACGAACCUGUUCCGGAUAAUUUGCAAUCAAUGACUGACUCCAAUUAAUUGAUGCUCUAAGAAAUUAUCUAUGGAGAAGGAGGUAUGUCAUUGUUUUGGAUGAUGUAUGGAAUGUAAACGCUUGGGAAACAAUAAGGUAUGCAUUUCCUGAUUGUAACUGUGGUAGUAGAAUUAUCUUCACUACACGUUUAAGUAACUUGGCUGAAUCUAUAGAGAACACUAGACAUGUUUAUGAACUCCAAGCUUUACCAGAAAAUGAAGCUUGGACCCUCUUUUGUAUGAAAGCCUUUAGAGGGGAACAUAAGGCUGUAUGCCCUCCAGAACUGGAAGAGAUGUCUCGAAAUAUCUUAAAGAAGUGUGAGGGACUGCCACUUGCAAUUGUAGCAAUAGGAGGCCUACUGUCGAAGAAGAAAAACCGAGGUUUGGAAUGGAAGAAAGUCCAUGACUGCCUAGCUACAGAAUUGAAAAGUAACAACGACCUUGGAGUCUACGUAGAAUACUUCAACUAAGUUAUGAUAUCUUCCUUACUACCUCAAGCAGUGUUAUUUGUAUUUAAGUGUUUUCCAGAGGAUAUUUGAUAAAAAGAAGGAAGUUGAUCCGGUAUGGAUAGUUGAAAGGUUUGUGGAAGAGAAGCAAGGCUUUACAAUGGAGGAAGUAGCAGAGGAAUACCUUAAUGAACUCGUGAAUAGGAGUUUGAUCCAAGUGGUGGAGAAGAAUUAUUUUAAUAGGGUCAAGACAUGUCGUGUUCAUGAUCUAAUGCGAGAAAUCAUUCAAAUGAAAUCCAGGGAAGAAUCUUUUGUUAUGAUAGCAAACGGAACAAGAAUCAGCAGAAUGAGAAAGUUCGGCGUCUAUCAAUCCAUGAAAACUCUGAGGAAGUACAAUCAGAUAUGAGAUUUCCUUAUCUGUGGUCUUUGUUGUCAUUUUCUUCACAUCAUUCUUUUGAGCACGGUUUUCGCAAUUACAAGCUGUGAGAGUGUUGAAUUUAGAUCGAGCUCCCCUUUCCACCUUCCUACCUGAAUUGGUUGAACUGAUUCAUUUGAGAUACUUAAGUUUGAGAUGGACCAUGAUAAGUGAGCUUCCAGAGUCCAUAAGGAAGCUCAAGUACUUGGAAAUACUGAUUUGAAAAGGAGUCUGUAUCUUCUUUGCCUGCUGGGAUCACACAAUUGACAUGUCUUUGCCAGCUCCGUAACUAUCGAUACAUUUUCCAGUCCUCAUCGUUCUUCCCAGACACUCAUGGAAUGAGAGUUCCAUCAGGAAUAGGAAGAUUGACGAGCCUGCAGAAAUUGGGAAGCGUCGAAGUGAAUGAAGAUUAUGAGUUAGUCAGGGAGUUGGGAAAGCUAACUCAGUUGAGAAGGCUGGGCAUUUUAAAGCUAAAGAAGAGCAGGGAAUGGAUCUGUGUUAUACUUUGGACAGGUUGAAACACCUUACUGCAUUGUAUCUUGUUUCACUAAACAACACUGAAUCUUACAAUUUGACUCUCUUUCAUCUCCUCCAAAAUAUCUCCAACGACUAAUCUCAAAUGUAGUCUUCCAGCUUUACCAGGAUGGAUAGCUUCACUCCAGUAUAUUUCCAAGCUAGUGCUUCAAUAUUCUAAUUUGAAAAGUGAUCCUCUCAAGGCCCUCCAGAAAUUGCCUAGUUUGGUGGUGCUUGAACUCCGUCAAGCUUAUGCAGGGGAAGAACUGUGUUGUGAUCCUAGUGGAUUUUCAAAGCUGAAGAGGCUAGGUCUCCAUGAACUGGAGAGAUUGCGGCGCAUCAGAAUAGCAAAAGGAUCAAUGCCUGGGUUAGAGAGGCUAGACAUCACAGCAUGCACGGUGCUAGAAACUGUGCCGGAUGGGAUUGAAAACCUGAAAAAUAUAGAAGACCUGGUUCUGUGGUAUAUGCCUUCAACAUUCAUCAAGACAAUAGAGAGGUACCGCGGUGAAGAUUUCUGGAGAGUUCAACAUAUCACAACAAUCACCCGUAUCUACGAGAGCCAGGGGAGACGGGUCUCUGAAACUCUUCUGUAAUUAGAGGGGUUAACUACGGAGAGGAUACAGUUUCCGGAAAAUUAUGAUCUCUGUCAAGUUCCUCAGGUCUGUACAGACGUUUCAUCAUGUAAUGCUGAGCCUCAGAAAACAGAAAACUGCUGCUCUUCCCUCCUCUUCUCUGCUCCUUUGUCUCU
RNAcentral lists this long non-coding RNA (58595 nucleotides) under Populus tremula. RNAcentral's name for it is "long non-coding RNA (PTRE_LNC003201)". The stretch from base 5380 to 5472 matches the Rfam family "MIR478 microRNA precursor family". Lineage: Eukaryota; Viridiplantae; Streptophyta; Magnoliopsida; Malpighiales; Salicaceae. The record is from RNAcentral.